This 51665-nucleotide long non-coding RNA is filed under the name Lathyrus oleraceus (garden pea). RNAcentral describes it as "Pisum sativum (pea) long non-coding RNA (PSAT_LNC009364)". Lineage: Eukaryota; Viridiplantae; Streptophyta; Magnoliopsida; Fabales; Fabaceae. The record is from RNAcentral.
CUUGAAGAUCUUGCUUGGGGAAGCUUAGGAUCGUUAUUAGGUUACUUAGGUUCUCUCAUUGGCUUGGAGAACAAUUGCGCUAGGGGCCAUAACUGUCUUCAGUUAUAGUAUGCUAUGUAUGUGAUGCAGUGAUGUAUGUUGAUGCAUGUGAGAGCGAUAUAUGAUAAAUAAGCCGGUGAGAUCAGGAAAAAUUGCACAUGUCCCUCAAAUUAAAUAUUAAGUUUAUGCUUUCCAAGUUUUAACCACUUCAUCAGACUAGUAUCGGAUAAUUAGGUUUCGCCUACGCGGAGGUGAUGUUCUUAUUAGUAAAGCGUGCGAUGGGAUAAUUGUAAUAUCCAACCUGUUUAAACAUAGGGUCAAACUUACUAACAAAUUAUAAUAAGAUUAUAUAUAUGUUUAGAACAGCAACAGUUGGGAAUUGAUUCCAUAUGAUGGAUUGGAAUAGGACGUUAUUCACCAACUGAGCAAUUUUUGGGAGUUGUAUGAGAUGCAAUUGGAAGGGAGUUCCUUACCUAAAUAACCUAGUUUUAUGUAAUCCGCCUACCCGGACUUAGAACGAAGAAAUAUGGAUCUCGACCCACGUAGAAAAUCUUUCAACGGGAUUUUCCGAUCAAAUGAUUGAGGUCAUUUGUUUUGAGUAAAUGUGGGAGCAUAUUUAUUAAAGGCUAAUUAAAUAUGUCAAUGAUUACUUAUAUUUUCAUUAAUCCUUGUGUAUGAUUACCAUGACAAACAACACCUCUAACAACAUCUUGCGCAUCAACCUUUGACAAGGAAAAAUUGUCUGGGACAAAUUUUCUUGAAUUUGGUACCGAACACUUGAGAUUGUUCCUUCAAACAGAUAAAGGAAGGCAAGGAAGUUGCCGAAACCAACCCACCAUUCUGCUUAUGAAGACCUAGUGGAAGCAUAGAAAAGAAGGCACCUGCUCAUUGCGGUAAGAACCGCACCUUGAAGAGGAACUGCCCAGUACUUGGAAGAUAGGAAGAAUGGAGUAGAGACUCCAACUUUCAAGUAUUAUUGUUUAUUGAAAUUAAAUUUAUCUACUUCUGCAUCAUGGGUAAUAGAUACUGGAUGCGGUUCUCACAUUUGUACAAAUGUGCAUGGGACUAAAAAAGAGUAGAGAUUUGCCAAAAGGUGAAAGUCGAUCUAACGAGUUGGCAAUGGAGCAAAGGUCUGCUGCUUAGUGUCGUGGAAUUAUGAAUUGACGUUAUACCUAGUGGAUUUAAUAAUUCAGUUAGAGAACUGUUAUUCAUGCUACCAACAUUAGCAGGAAUAUUUUUCCGUCUCUUGUUUGAGACAAGGUUUGGUUUUUUCAUUUUUAUAAUAAGAGCAACUGUUGCUCAAUUUAUUUGAAUGAUCAUAUUUAUAUUGCUCUUGACAACAAUGAACAAUGGACUAUAUGUCCUUGAUCUUGAAAUGCCUAUUAUAACAUUAUACUAAAAGGAUUAAACUAAUGAUGUUAAAUCCAACUUACCCUUUUGCAUUGUUGAUUAGGCCACAUUAAAGAAGAAACGCUUUCCGAACUCCAUAAAGAUGGCUCUUGGACUCUUUUGAUUUAUGAAUCAUAUUUGAGACAUGCAAAAUCUUGUAAUUGGAAGAUGACAAGAGCUCCAUUCAUAGGAAAAUGGUGAAAGAGCUAAUGAUCUUUUGCCCUAUCAACAUACAAAAUGAUGUAUUGUUGGCACCAUGACAUACCAGCAGAGGAGGUUUUCAAUACGUUCAUCACAUUGCUGAUGAUUCAGGAUAGAUAUUGGUUAUCUGUGUAUUUUAAUGAAACAACAAAUCAGAGUCCUUGAAAAGUUCAGAGGACUUCAAGAUGAAGUUUAAAAAACCAACUAGGUAAGAAUAUAAAACUCUUCGAUCAGAUCGAGGUGGUGAGUAUUUAAGCCUGAGUUAUGAUGAACAUCGAAAGAGUGUGGGAUCCUAUCCCAAACUUACUCUCCUGGAAAACACCCCAAUGGAAAUUGGAUUGUAUCUGAUGAGAAGAAAUCGAACCCUGUUACAGGUUCCGAUCCAAUGAUGAGUCACGUCGAUUCUUCCAAAACUCCCUUUUGGACAUGCGUUUUUGACAGCAGCUUACACACUUAACCGUUCCAUCAAAAAGGUUGAGAAGACACCAUAUGAGAUAUGGAGUGGUGAGAACCACAUAUGUCUUACCAUGAAGAUUGGCGGUUGCGAGUUUAUGUGAAACGACAAAUUUCAACUAAGCUUAGCCCAAAUCUGACAAUGCUGUAGUUGCUGGGGUAUCCUAAAGAAACAAGACGGUCUAUUACUUCUACAACUCCUUCUGACGCGGGGCAAAGUGUUUGUCGCUUCGAACUGGAGUUUUCCUAGAAGAAGGAUUUUAUUUCCAAAGAACCAGUGGAGGAAAGUAGAGGCUUGAAGGAAAUUCAGAAUCACAAAGGGGCAUUUCGACUUAACCCCCACACCUAUGGAGCGGGGAAUUUAGAGAGGAAACACAAGUGCGUUGUGGAAGAGCAACCUGCUCGACAAGACAAGACCAGCGUUAGGUCAAGCAGAAUCAUGCACCUACGCUGAAGAGAUAGUGGAUAUCUCAUAACAGAUAAGGUGAUGUAUACUCAUGGAUCAAGAUGAGCCUUGACCUACCAAGAGGCCAUAACUGUUGUCCCGAGUCUGAGAAGUGGCUAAAAGCCAUUGAAAUCUGAAAUGGAUUCCAUGUACACAAACCAAGUUUUUGGACCUUGGUAGAGCCUCCUGUAGAGUUAAUCUAUAGGAUGCAAGUGGCGUCUUCCAAAAAGAGAACUGGGACAUGGAUGGUAAAGUACAUACCUAUAAGGCAAAACGACUGGUUGCAAAAGGAUAUUAACAAAUUCAUGGGGUUUGGCAUGGAUGAAACCUUUUUCACCAGUUGCAAUACUUUAAAUCUGUUUGGAUUUUACUUGCUAUCGUGCAUAUCAUGAUUAUGAAAUAUGGCGCCAUGGAUGUCAAAACUGCGUUUCCUCAUGAGAAUCUUCUUGAGAUGUGUACAUGACACAACCUGAAGGGAUUUGACAUACCAGAAAGAAGCCCAAAAGAUAUGUAAGUCUACAAGGAUCAAUCUAUGGAUUGAAACGCAAGUUCCAGAAGCUGGAACUCUUCUUUUUUUGAUGAACGGUAACAAAAUCACGGGAUUCAUCAAGAACGAACCAGAUGAGCCUUGUGUUCACAAGAAGGUUAGUGGGAGCAUGCCUCGAUUGUUCCUGGUGUUAUAUGUAGAUGACAUAAUUACUCAUUGGAUACGAUGUCCCUACCCUGCAACAGUUAAAGUUCUUGGUUAGGGAAUGCAUUUCUUAUGAAGGACCUAGGUGAAGCAGGCUAUAUAUUUAGGAAUCCAGAUCUAUAGAGAUAGACUCCGAAAACUGGGCUUGGCCUAAGUCAGAGUACAUACAUAGAUAAAGUGCUGAGACGCUUUUUUUUUUAAAAUUUAAUGGGGCGCAUUUUUUGGAUUCCAAGAAAAGGAUUCAUUACCUAUUUGCCAACCUGGCAAUGUGUCUAUCAAAAACACAAUUCCCCUUCAACUAAGGUAGAAAGGCGAACGCCCGUGAAUAAGUUCCAUAUGCAUCAUGCUAAUAGAUCUAUAUUGUUAUGCAUGUUAUUACUCGACCAGAUGUCUCGUAAUUACUUUUUAAGUGCAACGAGCAGGGUUACCAAUCUGAUUCCUGGUGAUCCCAUUGGGUAGCUGUUAGAAUAUCCUUAAGUACUUGAGAAGGACUAAGGAAUCAUUCUUGAUAUAUGGAGGUCAGGAAGAGUUGGCUGUAAUUGGUUACACCGAUGCUAGCUUCCAGACAGAUAAGGAUGACUUUAGAUUGCAAUCUGGUUAUGUGUUUUGCUUGAACAGUGGCACUGUGAGCUGGAAAAGUUCAAAGCAAGAUACAGUUGCUGAUUCUACAACCGAGGCCGAGUAUAUUGCUACCUCAAGUGCAACAAAGGAAGCUGUUUGGAUCAAAAAGUUCAUUAGUGAACUUGGCAUAGUCCUUAGCAUUGUGGAUCCCAUUGAUCUCUAUUGUGAUAACAAUGAUGCUAUCGCACAAGCUAAGGAGCCUAGAUCUCACCAACGAUCCAAACACAUACUUAGGAGUUAUCAUCUCAUUUGAGAGAUAAUAGAUAGAGGAGAUGUGAAAAUAUGUAAAGUACCUACACUUGACAAUAUUGCUGACCCACUGACAAAGCCUCUUGCGCAGCAGAAGCAUGAUGGCCAUACUAGAUCNNNNNNNNNNNNNNNNNNNNNNNNNNNNNNNNNNNNNNNNNNNNNNNNNNNNNNNNNNNNNNNNNNNNNNNNNNNNNNNNNNNNNNNNNNNNNNNNNNNNNNNNNNNNNNNNNNNNNNNNNNNNNNNNNNNNNNNNNNNNNNNNNNNNNNNNNNNNNNNNNNNNNNNNNNNNNNNNNNNNNNNNNNNNNNNNNNNNNNNNNNNNNNNNNNNNNNNNNNNNNNNNNNNNNNNNNNNNNNNNNNNNNNNNNNNNNNNNNNNNNNNNNNNNNNNNNNNNNNNNNNNNNNNNNNNNNNNNNNNNNNNNNNNNNNNNNNNNNNNNNNNNNNNNNNNNNNNNNNNNNNNNNNNNNNNNNNNNNNNNNNNNNNNNNNNNNNNNNNNNNNNNNNNNNNNNNNNNNNNNNNNNNNNNNNNNNNNNNNNNNNNNNNNNNNNNNNNNNNNNNNNNNNNNNNNNNNNNNNNNNNNNNNNNNNNNNNNNNNNNNNNNNNNNNNNNNNNNNNNNNNNNNNNNNNNNNNNNNNNNNNNNNNNNNNNNNNNNNNNNNNNNNNNNNNNNNNNNNNNNNNNNNNNNNNNNNNNNNNNNNNNNNNNNNNNNNNNNNNNNNNNNNNNNNNNNNNNNNNNNNNNNNNNNNNNNNNNNNNNNNNNNNNNNNNNNNNNNNNNNNNNNNNNNNNNNNNNNNNNNNNNNNNNNNNNNNNNNNNNNNNNNNNNNNNNNNNNNNNNNNNNNNNNNNNNNNNNNNNNNNNNNNNNNNNNNNNNNNNNNNNNNNNNNNNNNNNNNNNNNNNNNNNNNNNNNNNNNNNNNNNNNNNNNNNNNNNNNNNNNNNNNNNNNNNNNNNNNNNNNNNNNNNNNNNNNNNNNNNNNNNNNNNNNNNNNNNNNNNNNNNNNNNNNNNNNNNNNNNNNNNNNNNNNNNNNNNNNNNNNNNNNNNNNNNNNNNNNNNNNNNNNNNNNNNNNNNNNNNNNNNNNNNNNNNNNNNNNNNNNNNNNNNNNNNNNNNNNNNNNNNNNNNNNNNNNNNNNNNNNNNNNNNNNNNNNNNNNNNNNNNNNNNNNNNNNNNNNNNNNNNNNNNNNNNNNNNNNNNNNNNNNNNNNNNNNNNNNNNNNNNNNNNNNNNNNNNNNNNNNNNNNNNNNNNNNNNNNNNNNNNNNNNNNNNNNNNNNNNNNNNNNNNNNNNNNNNNNNNNNNNNNNNNNNNNNNNNNNNNNNNNNNNNNNNNNNNNNNNNNNNNNNNNNNNNNNNNNNNNNNNNNNNNNNNNNNNNNNNNNNNNNNNNNNNNNNNNNNNNNNNNNNNNNNNNNNNNNNNNNNNNNNNNNNNNNNNNNNNNNNNNNNNNNNNNNNNNNNNNNNNNNNNNNNNNNNNNNNNNNNNNNNNNNNNNNNNNNNNNNNNNNNNNNNNNNNNNNNNNNNNNNNNNNNNNNNNNNNNNNNNNNNNNNNNNNNNNNNNNNNNNNNNNNNNNNNNNNNNNNNNNNNNNNNNNNNNNNNNNNNNNNNNNNNNNNNNNNNNNNNNNNNNNNNNNNNNNNNNNNNNNNNNNNNNNNNNNNNNNNNNNNNNNNNNNNNNNNNNNNNNNNNNNNNNNNNNNNNNNNNNNNNNNNNNNNNNNNNNNNNNNNNNNNNNNNNNNNNNNNNNNNNNNNNNNNNNNNNNNNNNNNNNNNNNNNNNNNNNNNNNNNNNNNNNNNNNNNNNNNNNNNNNNNNNNNNNNNNNNNNNNNNNNNNNNNNNNNNNNNNNNNUAACAGGAUAAAUGUCUAUGGGCCCAAUAUUGAACUGGACAAGGGUGACACGGUCUAUACCUUGUGUUCAAUAUAGACAUAAGGGCAAAGGGGUAAUUAUACACAUAAUUAUUAUCACAGGAGGUUUUGUCAGAUCACAUGACAUUUUCGUGACUUGGGUAGCAGUGAUGUGUUGCUAGAUACCGCUCACUGUUUAUUAUGUUAAAUGCGUGAUUUAAUAUAAUUGCCAACGUCGUGAAAACCUACAGGGUCACACACAAAGGACGUAUUGAUGAGAGAUAGAGUAAUUAAGGAAUACCGUAAUGUAUGGUGCCCUUAAGUAGAAUACGAAAUAUGGUAAGGUACCAAAUACUUAAGUGAUUUUGGCAUAUUAUGAGAUAUGGGCAAAAUGCACUUAAGUGGGCUUUUUGGCUUGAAGCCCACACAAGUGGUUCUAUAAAUAGAACUCUUAUGCAGAAGCAUUGUAUGGGAAUACAACACAACUGAAGAGUUGGAAUUUUGUAUCUCACUUUCUCUCACUCAAAGCCUUCAUUCAUAACAGCUAGCACUGCGAUUGAAGGAAUCCGUUCAUGUGGACUGAGUAGAGACAUUGUCAUCGUUCAACGUUCGUGAUCACCACAAGAGGUAACGAUUCUAUCACUUAUCAUGCCCAUUCGUAAGGAUCACUAAAUGGAGAAAAUUUUAAAUUCCGUUGCGCCUUGGAUGGCAAUUCUCCUUCAGAAGGUAAGGUCAAACGACAAAACUUGUUACCACCAAAAGGAUGAUAAUAAGCACACAACGUAAUUGAUCACCAUCACCAAAAGGAUGAAGGUAAGAUCAAGACAAAAACUUGUUGCCACCAAAAGGAUGAUAAUAAGUCAACAAUCACCAUCACCAAAAGGAUGAAGGUAUAAUUAAAAGACAAAACUUGUUACCACCAAAAGGAUGAUAAUAAACACACAACGCAAAUUGAUCACCAUCACCAAAAGGAUGAAGGUAAGACCAAGACAAAAACUUGUUGUCACCAAAAGGAUGAUAAUAAGCACACAACGCAAUUGAUCACCAUCACCAAAAGGAUGAAGGUAAGAUCAAGACAAAAACUUGUUAUCACCAAAAGGAUGAUAAUAAGUCAACAAUCACCAUCACCAAAAGGAUGAAGGUAUAAUUAAAAGACAAAACUUGUUAUCGCCAAAAGGACGAUAAUAAGUCAAAAUAGACUCAAAUGAUCACCAUCACCAAAAGGAUGAAGGUAAGAUCAACAACAGAACUUGUUACCACCAAAAGGAUGAUAAUAAGUCAAUAAACUUAAAUAUCACUGACACCAAAAGGAUGACAGUAGGAUCAAACAAACAAAACUUGUUAUCACCAAAAGGAUGAUAAUAAGGACAGAACUUCAAAACUUGUUAUCACCAAAAGGAUGACAAUAAGUCGAGACAAACUCAAUGACCGCCAUCACCAAAAGGAUGAGGGCAAGAUCAAAACAAAACCCGUUAUCACCAAAAGGAUGAUAAUGAGUCAGUAACUCAAAUGGUCACCAUCUCCAAAAGGAUGAGGGUAGUAUUAAACAACAAAACUCGUUACCACCAAAAGGAUGAUAAUAAGUCGACAAUUACUAUCACCAAAAGGAUGAAGGUACUACAGACAACAGGACUCGUUAUCACCAAACGGAUGAUAAUGAAUCAACAAUCACCAUCACCAAAAGGAUGAAGGUGAAAUCGUAACUUCAAAACUUGUUACCACCAAAAGGAUGAUAAUAAGUUAUAAUAACUUCAAAUAUUGCUGACACCAAAAGGAUGGCAGUAGGGUUAAACUUUCCAAAUGUCACCAUCACCAAAAGGAUGAUAGCUUAAACCCAAACUUUAUAAUCUCUAUCACCAAAAGGAUGAUGUUUAGAUUGAACUGGACGUCAUCACCAAAAGGAUAAUGAUUGAACCAAAAUGACAAGGAUCCUUAUCACCACAAGGAUCGCUGAUGUAACACCCCGAUAAUAAUAUGUAUUUAUUUAAAUUAAAUUAAUAAUAUGUUUAUUAAUUUAAUUAGAAUAUUUGAAUUAUUAUUAUUAUUUUGGAAUAAUAAUUAUUGGGAUAAUUAUUUAUUUAACAUAGGUAUGAAUAUUAAGAGUAAUAUUUAUACCAGAUUGACCCGCUAUGAGAAUACUAUAUAGAAAGUUAUGCAAAGUGUCAUAAGUUAUUCUCAUGGUGAUAAUAGUGUAUACCACUCUUCGAUCUGAAACCACUAUGGACCCUAGAUGUAGAGUCGAGUGCUUUGUUGCUGAUCCAACGUUGUCCGUAACUGGAUAACCAUAAAGACAGUUGAUGGGUACUCCACGAAGCAUGCUGAGGGACAUGAGUAUCCUAGAUGGAAUUUUCCCAUCCUGCGUAACAGGAUAAAUGUCUAUGGGCCCAAUAUUGAACUGGACAAGGAUGACACGGUCUAUACCUUGUGUUCAAUAUAGACAUAAGGGCAAGGGGUAAUUAUAGACAUAAUUAUUAUCACAGGAGGUUUUGUCAGAUCACAUGACAUUUUCGUGUCUUGGGUAGCAGUGAUGUGUUGCUAGAUACCGCUCACUAUUUAUUAUGUUAAAUGCGUGAUUUAAUAUAAUUGCCAANNNNNNNNNNNNNNNNNNNNNNNNNNNNNNNNNNNNNNNNNNNNNNNNNNNNNNNNNNNNNNNNNNNNNNNNNNNNNNNNNNNNNNNNNNNNNNNNNNNNUAGGUACAGCAGACUACCUAUCAUGGCUUCUAUACAGACAGUUAUCUACACUAGGCCCGUCCAUCAUCUUUUGGUCAACUCAGAUGAGUGGGAGCAGGAUCCCUCUGUGCCUAGCCAUUAUCCAUACCAAAACUUCUUAACUAUGUUCUUGGCAUAACUUGCUUUUGGAGAGAAACAUAGAGUCCUCAUUUGGUUAACGUUGCAUUCCAAGGAAAAUAGUAAGUUUCCCACAUAGACUCAUUCAAACUCAGACUGCAUCUGGUGAACAAAAUUGUGUACCAUUUGUUCUGACAUUCCACCAAGACUAUAUCAUCAACAUAAUUUGAGCUAUUCAUGAAUUAUCCUUCUUCAUCCUUCACCAACAGGGUUUUAUCUAUGCCACCCUUCUGUAUCAUUUGAGGUCAGAUAAUUCGGUUAACCUUUCAUACCAUGCUCUAGGUGCUUGUUUCAACCCAUACAAGGCUUUCCUCAACUUGCUAUACAUGCUCAGGUUGGUUAGGAUCACAGGAACCCUUUAGGUUGUUCCACAUAGACUUCCCAUUCAGGUAGCCAUUCAAGAAUGCCACUCUUCACAUCCAUUUGGAAUAGUCUUAAAACUUCAGGAUGCAUGCUACCCCCCAACAACAAUCUGAGGAACUCAAGCCUAGGCCACAGGAGCAAAUGUCUCAUCAAAAUCUACCCCUUCAACUUUGAGUGUAUCCUGGUGAGCUACUGUCUUGCCUUAUUGCCUAGUAAUUACUCCUUUCCUCAUCAGAUUUGUUUUUGUAGAUCCACUUGCCGUACAAUGAUGUUGGUGGGGGGGUCCCUUCAGGUCUUGGAAACUAGCUCCCAGACUUUCAUUCCUUUUGAACUGCUCAAGGUUCCUUUGCAUGGGCGUGAUUCCAGUAUUCAUCAACCAGGGCUUCCUUCACAUUUUUGGUUCAACCUUGGAUUUUACAAAGCAGGAAUUUGAGUUUAUUUCCUUCUUGACCCUGGUAGUUACACCACUGGUGGGAUCCCCUUAUGAUAAGAUCCUUAGGGUGGUUCUUUUCUGAAUUCUGAUAGAUUGGCAACUUUGGUGGGUUGGUUGCAUCUACUCCAUUCAGGAGGAGGUUCCUGGUACUUCUUCAGACUUGACUGGACUGUCAGUUGAACUGAUCAAGAAUGUUUUCAACAUCCUCCAUUGACAUCGGGUUCCUUCCUCUUAUUCAUCCACAAUACAUUUAUGGAUUCCAUCAGGACAUUGUGGUCCUGUAGUUGACACUAACUUUGUAGGGCUCUGCUGUUCGUGGAGUAUCCCAAAAAUAACCUUCAUUCACUUUUGGGAUCUAGCUUCCUUCUCUGUUCACGAUCUGCUGAGAAUGUUAGCAUUUACUUCCAAAGAUAUUUGAAAGUACAUUCACAGUGGGUUUUCUGCCUUUCCAUAUUUCAUAUAGAGUGGAGGAGGUUCCUUUUCUCAAGGUGACUCGGUUGUGAACAUAGCAUUGCGGUGUUUCAAUUGCUUUCCGCCCAGAGUGCAUGGGGAGCUUCUUUGCAUGAUGCAUUGCUCUGGAAGAUGUCUUGAAUAUUUCUAUUUUUUCUUUCAACUAUUCCAUUUCUUGCUGAGGAGUUAUAGGUUGAGGAGAACUCAUGACUUAUUCCUUCAGACGAGCAAACUCAUCAAAACUUGGAAUUCUUGAACUUCCGUACCAUGAUCACUUUCUAAUCCGGACCACACAACUGUCCUUGUCCCUUUGAAGUCUUAUGCACAGGUCUUUUGAAGACAACAAAUGGUAUCUGACUUCUCUCUGAUGAACCUUAUCCACGUGUAUCUGGAAUGGUCACUCCACAACGUAUGCAUAUUUCUCCCACCAAGACUUUCAACCUGCAUAGCGUCCCAUUAGUUCCAUGUGCAACAAGUCCAGAACUCUGGAGGUUGCUGGAUGUCCCAGUUCGAUGUGACAUCUUGGUUUGCUUGCCACUGGCAUUCUCCACAGGACUCUUCCUUCAUCAAUCAGGAGCUUCUGAAAAUUCCUCUGACAGCUUCCUUUGGAUAUUAUCUUCUUCAUUCUCCCGUAAGUGGAGAUGUCCAAGCGUCUAGCCACAACUUCACAUCCGUUUUCCUUGGCUGAGGAGCACUGUUGUGGAAAAAGUUUGAGACUUCAGGUUCCCACAGGUAGAGUUAUUCUGGACCUGGUUCCUCUCAUAACUUCAUGAUUGUCACCAUUGUCACAAUGCAUAGCUCUUAGUAAACUGAACAUUGAAACCCUUGAUCACACAGCUGACUAUGCUGAUGAGGUUUGCAGUUAGUCCUGCUUACUAAACAGCACAUUAUUCAGUUUUUGGCACUCCAGAACGAUCCAAGUUGCCCACACCUUUAUUUUUCCUUUGCACCAUCACAAAUGUCACAUAGCUGUAGUGUGAGGUUUGAAUAUUCUACCAGUAGAUUUCCAUACCAGUCAUGUGUCUUUGAGCAUCCACUGUCAAAAUUACCAGUCUUCUCUGGUAGAAGCCCUUAGGCAGUGUGUGCUAUCCUAGCAUACCAUGGUUGCUUCUUAAUGAAACAUAGCCGCUUAUGUGUUUUAUGCUUAGGCUUAACAUGCAAGGCUUGGUUAGGGAAACCAUGAAUCCAGUAGCCAGAAGGCUUUUAUAUGACAAGCCUACCACAGUAGGUGACACCUCCCACUCCUGGUUUCCUCGCUUGAUGUCAUUCAUCCUAGUUCUCGAAGUUGGAGACAUUGGCUCUUGACUUCCUCUUGAACUUUCUGAACUUUAGCCUUUGGGGUUUGUGUUCAGUUGAGGAUCUUUCCCAUCCAAGGGCCAAAUUUGGUUCCAGGACUGCUGUCCCCACCUUUAGAAUCUCCUCCAAGGUGUCAGUUCCCUUAUUCAUCAUCUGAUGGAUUUAGUCAUCUGAUUCAGCUUGGAGUCAGCAGGGUUAUUUCUCACCAUUUAGACCUCUCCUAUGACAGACAGUUGCAUCUGUGCUCUCAUCUUCCAGUUCCUUGAGGAGUUUCUUUUGCUUUUCUCCUUGUGCACGCACGUCUGCACUAGUGGAAAACACAGCUUCUCUAAUAGGAUGCCAGAAAGUUCAUCAAAGGUCAGUUCAUCUGCACUUGAGUAAAUCUUGCAGAGGCACAAACACUGGUUAGUGCAUGACAUGUUUGGCAGAUUUCUCCUUUCAGAAUUCACUUUCAGAAGUUCUCCUUCAGACCAUGUGAAGCUAACCCCUUAUUGCAAAUUUGAGGUAAGUAGGGCAUUCAGCUCUGGACGUGUCCAUACCCUUCACAACCAUGACACUGGAUUCCCUUGCCGUGAUUGGAACUUCUCAUCAGAAGUUGAUCUUUUUCUUAAUGUUCAGACGGAGUGUUCUUGAAAUUUGGUCUACCUCUUUUGAUCAAUCUUCUUCACGAAACUUGUUGAACUGUCUCCCAGCAUGGGCUAAUGCUUCUUGAUAACUUUCAUAACCUCAGUAUAUCCUGCUUCUGACUCCUCUUCAGCAUUUUAGAUACAAAAAGCUAUGCUUUUGUUCUUCUUUCUCAGCAUACUCACCCAAGCCCAUUGUCAAAGUUUGGAGGGAAACCAUGAUUUCAUCCACCUUCAUGUUGCAGGAUGUCCUGCGCCUCCUCUUCAUGGCCUGUGAACCUUCAUAGCAAAUCUCUUUAGGCAAGGACCUUGAGAAUCUUUCUUACAGUUUCUCUUUCAGCCAUUUUCUUCACCUAGUCCCACCAGAGGUGUUUGCAAUUUCAAGAAUAUUUCAUGUGAAAGUCAUGAAUAGUCUCUUCUCUUCAUCCUCAGAUUUUUCAAACUGGUGGUCAGCAUUCGAAGUUUGGACAUCUUCACCUUGAAAGUACCUUCAUGGGUACCUUUGAGGUUCCCAAAACUUCCUUAAGCGAGUCACAGUGUGUACCAGCCUGAAGUGUUCUUGCUGAUUCCAUUGAACAAUGCAUUCAAGGCCUUGGAAUUUCCAAGAGCUAAUGCCUCUUGCUCCUUCUGUCCCACCUCUUCUUCAGGAAUCUGCACCACCUGACUCCAUCUUCCACCUGUCCUCAUUGGAUGUUCCAUCCUGUUGACAGCUCUCCAGACUUUGCUGUCUAGAGACCUUAAGAGGCUAUCAUACGAGGCUUUCCAGUCAUCAUAUAUUAGAGCCAUCCAACAUGGUGGUCUGUUUUGAGUGUCUAAUUCCUUGUCCAUGCGUUUACUAGAAAGUAAACUUCCCUAAUCUCACACCAGAAAUUCACAGGGCAGGGUGCCUGCUCUUUUGAUGCCAAUUGAAAUUCUAGUUAUCAGACUUUGGAUGUCACACUGGGUUGUUAUUGACAUCCAAUUCUGCACAGACAGGGAUUAUGCAGAAUUAACAGUAAGUGCAGUAAAUAACACAAGUAAAUUGUUUCACCCAGUUCAGUCCAACACGACCUACAUCUGGGGCUACCAAGCCAGGGAGGAAAUCCACUAUUUAGUCUAGUAAUCAAUUCAAAGCUAAAACCACCCCGUUUACAACUUAUCACUUAAUUCCCACCCAAUGCAAUUUCAAUCUUAACCUGAGAUUAGAUUCCUACUCACGUGCCCCCUCAAUCACCCUCAGUGAUUACUAUCUUUAAAAACAAUAUUUAAAGACAAGGUGGGAAAGUCCACAUCAACAACUCUUGCAUUGUGCUUCACACUCUUUAAUCAAGAUACACAGCACUCACGCCUUAAAAAGCUUUGAGUGACACAACACUUUACAACUCAAUUGAACAACCUUAUGCCAAAGCUAUCAUUCUACUUGAUAAUGACUUGGCCUAACAAGAUACGUCUAAUACAGACUCACAAAAAUACAGCAGUGAAGUAUGAUGGACACACAAAAUCUUCACGCUCAAAAUCCCUGAAACUGAAUGAAGGACGCCUUUCUUUUUAUAUUGCAGUACCCUGGGCUUUUUGCACCUGUAUUCUCCGGAACUUUAAGGUCACGCGAGUUCCCAUAAAAAUUCAAAUUUAGGUUACUAACAAAAUAGGCUAUUUGUUAGGUUCAGUGAAUGUAAGCUGGAUUGUUGAUUCCUGGUUUUUCAUACUAAAGGCUUGUUGACUUCCUUGAAGGGAGGGCGGGACAGCACCCGGCCCAUUAAAAAAAGGGGGAGGGCCUGAAGAAAAAAGCUGAAACAGAAAACUGAAACCUACAAUAUACAUUGCUGUCAGCAUGGAAUGUCACGGACAUUCAGCUGACAUCAAGGUCCAUGAUGCUGAGUCUGUUUUUCCAGAAAAAACAGACUUUACAUUUUGCUGACCUGUACAUGAUCAAAAUGACCAUUACUACCAGUUGACAGUUACAUUUAAGAAAUGUCAAGUGUCCAAACUUAACAUUUACACAAUUGCCUUAAGUUAGUUCUGUUAUUCUUUUGAAAGAACAAAACUAAGUUACAUUUGCUGAAGUAUAGCAGAACACCACUCUGUCUAAUCUUCAGCAGCUGCUGUCAAUGAUGAAAUGUCAUUAACAUCCAGUUUACAUUCAGUCAGUAGGCCUUAUGCCAGGUUGGUCUUUCUUGAUAACCAGACUUGGAAAUAAAUUACUAAGUUCUUGACAGAAACAACCUGCUGGUUCUAUUCUUUAGUAUCUGUGACAAGUAUGAAUGUCAAUCAUCCAGUUUGACAUUCAAUAUAAAUCCUGUGUUAGCUAGUCCUGCAGUAACUACAAUGUAGUCACACAUACAUGUCAUGACAUCAGUCAGGACAUUAGUAACCAUCUAGUGUUUUACCAUAUAAUGCAGCCAAUUAAACACCUACAGAUACUGCUUAUAUCCUUCUAUAUGUGGAUGACAUAAUUCUCACUACUUCGUCUGAUGCUCUUCGUGACUCUAUUAUGUCUAAACUUAGUUUUGAAUUCGCCAUGAAGGAUUUGGGUCCUCUAAGUUAUUUUCUGGGAAUAUCUGUCACCAAACAUACAAGUAGUCUUUUCUUGUCUCAAAGAAAAUAUGCAGAGGAAAUUAUAGAACGAGCAGGCAUGUCCUCUUACAAACCAUCACCCACUCCAGUCGACACCAAGGCAAAACUCAGUGGCUCUUCUGGGAAUCCAUAUCAUGAACCAACUGAAUAUCGGAGUCUUGCAGGAGCAUUGCAGUAUUUAACCUUCACAAGACCCGAUAUCUCUUAUGCAGUAUAACAGGUAUGCCUAUUCAUGCAUGACCCAAAAACACAACAUAUGUCAGCACUGAAGCGUAUAAUUCGGUAUAUUCACGGCACUAUUGAUUUCGGCCUUCACUUGCAUCCCUCCUCUGUCAGCAAAUUGGUUUCUUACACUGAUGCAGAUUGGGUUGGUUGCCCAGACACCAGGCGAUCCACCUCUGGUUACUGUGUCUAUCUUGGUGACAAUUUAAUAUCAUGGUCUGCCAAACGCUAGCACACCCUCUCUCGGUCCAGUGCCGAAGCCGAGUACCGUGGAGUCGCCAAUGUAGUAUCUGAAUCUUGUUGGAUUAGAAACUUACUGUUGGAACUACAUUGCCCAGUCACAACAACCACUAUAGUCUAUUGUGACAAUGUGAGUGCUGUAUAUCUAUCUGGCAACCCAGUUCAACAUCAGCGUACCAAACACAUCGAGAUGGAUAUACAUUUUGUGCGUGAAAAAGUCGCCCGCGACCAAGUACGGGUCUUACAUGUCCCUUCACGUUACCAAAUCGCUGACAUCUUCACCAAAGGACUUCCCUUUUAAUAUAUUAUAAUAGAUAAUAGAUAGUAAUAAAUUAUUAUCAAAUUUUAGUUUUUUGAUAAAUAAGGAUUGAAAAUGCUAGUUGCAAUAUUAACUUAAUUAUUUAAUUAAUUAAUCAUUUUAAUUUUUAUUAAUUGAAAUGUAAAAAAUUAUUUGAUUUUGUUGUAGAUAUGAGUUGAAUCAUGAGUGUUCUUUUUAUAAAUAUUAGAAUAUCAUUGUUAUUAUUAGGAUAUCAUUGUUAUUAUUAGAAUAUUAUUGUUAUUAAAUAGUCUUGAUUGUAUAGCAAACAGACAGAGAGAAAAAUUGAUUGUAUAUAUAUCAUUGAAAAUCAAUAGAAAGGCAAGACCUAUCAUUCCAAUAAUAAAUAUUAUUAUUGUUGUUUUUAUUAUAUUUUAUAUAGUCUCUAUUGUAAAAGAAAAUAGUAAAUUAUAAUUCACUUUUGGGAAAACUCUAUUUUCAAAUAUGUGGGAAAUCAAGAAACUUGUUGUUUGUAUUUAGUUUAUUAUUCGAUAUUAUGUGAAAAAUAUAGUAGUAAAGUAUAUAAAAACGAUAAAAGAUUGUUGCAUACACUAUUAUUUUUUAAGAUCGACUCAUUAAUGUUUUUCUAAAAAUUGCGUAAGAAUAUGUUUAAGAUUAAAAAGAUUUAUUUUAAAUGUUAUUUUUAUUGCUAAAUUAAAAAAAAACAUAUUAUUUUAUUGUGUAUGGAUUCUCACAUCUAUUUUGGUUUUAAAAACUAAAAUAAUUUUCUUAGUUGAAAUAAGUAUUAUGAUAAUAUACAUAGUUAGAGUAAUAAUUGGAUUGGGCUCUUAGAGCAUUUCCUUUAAAAUGAGAUUUUUUUUGAAAGAUUCAAAUCCGUGAGCUCCAAAUGUAUUAUAUUUGACUUUUAGAAUAGUAAAAAUGAAAUUAUAAGUAUGAUAUGUUUUAAUAUAUUAUAUAGAUAAUAGAGGUUAAGGGUGGUAAUGACAACUAUAUUGGUCAGGUUGUUGCUAUAGAUCAAUUUCGCAUCAAUUUUUUUUUAUGCCACCAACAGAGAUGAUAGAGCUUUCCUUAUAACUAUAACAUUAAUGGGUCAUAGUUGGUGGUUUUUCUAGGCACAAGAUUUUUUGGGGUUAAAUAAAGUUUCUUUCUAUUUUCAAAUUAAAAUUCAUCGCAGAAAAAUAACACCAAUACUAUGAUAAUACUAGUAUUAUAGUAUUGGAAUUGGUUUUGGAUAAUGAUUAUGAAUACUGGGAAUGGGAAAGAGAAGGAAGCUGGUUCAUGGGAUUUGGAAGCUUUUGAUUAGGAGGAAACAAGUUGAUUAUGUUCAUUAAAGGGAAUAAAUUAUGACAAUUGUUUGAGUUACAUUGAGGGAGGAAGUUAUGUCAUUGUGACAUUGUAAGUUAUAUAUCUCGUCUCCUUUGAGUUUAUCAACUUUUAUGAUGAUAAAUGAUUGUAGUUUGUUAGCUGGCCAAUCAUAGUUAGUAAGUUAGCCUUAGUUUAUUGAAGGGGAUAGGAUGUGAUAAUAUAAAAGAUCAUUUCUUAACACAUUCUAUAAGUUUCUACUACAUCACACGAAUUUCUAUAAAUAUCCUCUGUUUUAAAAUUCAUAAAAUAAAAUUAGGAUUACAUAGACGAGUUCAACAUAAAAUGCAACAUUACACUUCAAUAUCCAGGUGGACGCUUCAUCAUCUUCAGAAUAUUUUUGACCGAUUUUGAAAUCGCCGCUUCCAACUCGAGCAGAACUUUUGUUUCGAAACGGAAAAAUGUAUUCCACAUAGCCCUUACAUCUGCUUGCAUUUUGAGCUCAAAUUUGCUAAGCUCAAUCUUCUCCCGUUGCCAAUCAACGGUGAACGGUACUUGAGCUUCACAAUCUUUUAAUUGUCUCCGUAAGAUAGAAGAUAAUGGAUUUCGUCUUUGAUAUCUUCGAGGGAGAUGAAGUCGUUGAGCUUGAACAUGCACCCGCGUGUAGAGCUGGAGAACGAGACAUUUGCAACAUACCAGUCAAUGUCUAUUUGUGACAUUUGAGACUCUUUCAGUUUGUGUGAAAUAUAUCAUAAUAGCACCUUAAUUUAUAGUAGCCAUAAAUCAAUAUGGAUCACUCAAUGAUUAACAUGCUGAUUCCGGAGAUAUACCUCUGAAACCGCACCCCAUUAUCUUGUUUCAGAGAUGUAUCUCCGAAACUUCUCCUGAACCAGUUUCAGAACAGAACCCUAAAACAUAACAUGUUUCUUUCAUUUACAAAAAACACAAAUGUUGUUAUGGGGAAGAUAAAAAAUGUAUUAAGACAAAAUAUGAACAAAUGGUGAAUAUUGAUGUUCAUAAUCAAAAGUAAGUAUUUGAUAUCGUAUCUAGAGAGAGUGGUACAACACUACAACCGUCUAACAGUUAAUUAACGAUUUAGGUAGAUUUAUAAGAUGGUUUGAUUAUAAUUUUUCUAUAGUAUAAAGAUGUAAGAAACUGUAUUUGAUAAAACGAAUUUCACAGAUGAUAAAACAUGAUGGGAUUGAAUUUCAUUUGCUGAAUACAUAUGAAUUCCUCGAUCACUUUCAAGUAUAAUCUUAUUUUUUAUUCAUAUCAUCACGUAUCCUCACAACAGGUAUUAUGUAUAACAUAAUAAGAUAUAUAUAUAGUUGGAAGAAUAUUUAUGCAUAUUAACAUAACAUACCUGAGAGCAGAGGGUAUAGAGAAAAUUAAAUUUUCAAUGCAAUGAGUAAGGAAGUGAAAAUGAAAUAAAGAGGCGGGUAAGUGAGUGGUUGGGGUGAAGUUAUUGACCAUAAAUGCAUGUUUGACUGAAACUGUCUCGCUUAGCAAAAUAACUUUGCUUAGCGAACUUGUGCACAAAAACUUCGCUUAGCGAGAUAAAGUUUCCUUAGCGAACUAAGCAAAAUACAGUUUUCUACAUAAUUGAUCCCUGCUACAAUUAUUCCAUUUACCUGCUCAGAAUUGAUACCAAAAAAUUAAAAAGCUUAAGGAAAACUUACAAAGUUGGGUUGUCUCCUAACAAGCGAUUGUUUAACGUCGUUAGCUUGACGUCUGUCUUUGUUUUUCAUGGUUCGUGCAACAGAAUUAUUGUGGUGAGCCUGUUAAUGUCACCACCUAGAUAAAUUUUCACCCUUUGGCCAUUAACUUUCCAUGUUGCUUGAGAUAUUUGAUCCUCCAACUCAAGUUCCCCAUAGGGUUUUAACUCUUUGAUUCUAAAUGGUCCGGACCACUUUGACUUCAACUUUCUCGAAAACAACCUCAAUCGAGAAUUAAAUAGAAAAACCAUUUGUCUAACCUUGAAUUCCUUGGGAAGGAUCUUGUCGUCAUGAUACUGUAAGAACAAAAUCAGUUCUACAAUAGAUUCUAGGAUUUUGAUGAUAACAAAGGAUGAAACCAAAAAUGGCACCCUAACAAAAUUUCUCUAAGUGUGCAGGACUCUGAACAAGAACAAAGAAAUCUGAUCGCUUUAUCAUAUACAAACUCUGAUCAGAUACAAAGAACUAGAAGAUCAGAAGCAUAUGAAGAAGAAGUGCGCUCUAGAAGUUCUGACUCUGAGCAACAGGACAGCAGAAUACCAAAAGCUCUAUACCUCCACUGGACUCAACUCUGAUGAUCUAAAAGACCAGUACUCUUAGAAGCUCUGAUGUAACCUCAAUGCAAUCUCCGAGAUAACAAAGACUCUGAUGAAGAUUCUCCAAAAUCCAGAAAGAGUAACGGAAACAACUUCUUCAAAUGGAAAGAAAGUAUAUUUGGAAAGAAUUUAUUCAGGGAGACUUUUGUUUAUGGCAAAGAACACAGAAGUAAUGACAUUGAAUGUUCAUCAAAGACCAAUAUUCUUCAUCAGCUCCAACGGUCCUUUCACCACUAUAAAAGGACAACAUACUUCAGUGAGAAUACUACAACGCAACAGAAAAUUCUUUACUCUCUCUCUUAGUUUUUCACGAGCUGUUGCUCAUACGUGACACUUCCCUUGAUCUAUUUGCUGUAAUAUUUGCUUACUCUUAGAAGCACUUUCGAUUACAAUCCUUUUUGCUAAAUUGCAUUUGUUCCUCAAGUGACUAUGCGUAAAGCUUGUAUCCUUGGGAGGACUAAGAGAUCACACUCUUCAGACGUUUGGUUGUAUUAAUCUUUCAAGAUUAGUGGAUUAAGUCCUUUUUGAAGGCGAAAUCACCUUGGCCGGGUGGACUGGAGUAGCUUUGUGUUAUAAGCGAACCAGUAUAAAAUUCUGUGUGUUCUUCUUUUGAAAAAGCGUUUAUUUUCCAAAAAUAAUUCAAACCCCCCUUUCUUGUUUUUCUCACCUUCAGAUACCUCUUAAUUCUUUCUUUGUAAAGUCUUGAGGACUCAUAUACUUGCAACCUUAACUCAUCAAGUUCAUUCAAUUGAACCGUCAUGAUACCUCUUAAUUCUUUCUUUGUAAUGUACUGGAGCUUAUCUCUAAUUUACAUACAUGUGUUUCUUAUGCUAUGUCCUUGCAUCCCACACAGAGAAAGCGCUUGUGCUUGUUAAUACCACCCAUUAACUUUGAUUUGUUUACCCAUGCAAGCCCUUCCUGAACACCAAAUAUGUUGAUAGAGAUGAACAAUCUCAUUUGAAGCAUCACAUGCAAGAAGUAGAUAGUUGUGUGGUUUUACCAUCCAUGCAAAUCUCAUGAACAAUGUUGAGUAAAUGCGCAUUGUUGCAUUAAUUAAAAAAAGGUGAUGAAAUAAUUAAUCCACAUACCAAUAUGCUAAGAUGAAAUUUUACAUUCAAUGAAAGUAGAGAUGAUGAACCUCCUGUCAUGUUGUCAGUGAUCAUUUCAGGAGGUUUAUUGAUAUCAUCCAAACCAUUUCUUAUAAAAAAAAGUUUUGCAUAUUAGCUUAAAAUGUGUGUUAACAACAAAAAUAGAUGGCCAUACGAGUGAAACUCACAACAAGGGUGAAUCCUCAUUUGGCAACAUGUCCCAAAAGUGAGAUAUUUUAGGGUCAACUAGAAUGUUCCAAAAUGCUUUGAAGGAAACCAUAUGAUACCACUUAUACUAGAUUAUCAUCACUAAAUUGUAUGAUUUUAACAAAGUAAAAGAUCUCAUAUCACAAAUUUCAGGGUAUGUAAAAACAAAUAUUUUGUACAAAACCAAAAUAGUAAGAUUGCACAAAUUCACACAGCAAAAAACUAAUAUGCUAUUCCACUCAUAAAUAGAGAGGGAGGGAGGGAGGGAGGGAGGGAAGGGGGGAGGGCACUAUCCAACAAUCACACACUAGUAAAGUUAAGUCUUAUAUAGUCCAAUAAACAAGCCCUCACAAUCUUCUAUUGGUUAUUAUUCUUAUCAAAAUAUUUAAUCUAAAAAAAGUAAAAAAAAAACAACAACAAUCAAACCUUAUUCCAUUAAGUGAGAUCGGCUACAUGAAUUAACUCUGAUUUGUUUACCCAUGCAAGCCCUUCUUCCAUGUAUAUUUUUGUUUUCAAACUAUUUUUGAGUAAACUGUUUGCAAUAAUUACUUAACUGUAGGAUAUUUGAAGAACAAAUCAUCAAAAUAACUCACAAUGACAUACAACUUAAAUUUAAAUAAUAUCACAAUAUAAAUUUCAUUUUAUGCAACUGAAAUGUUAACAAUUAAUUUGAAACCCUAAAGAUUAAAUUAAAUGAAUAUUAUUUCACUAUCUUCCAAUUUAGUGCAAAUGCAAUUUUUCAGAAUCUAUGAAUUUCAUGAAAUACAAUCCCUAAUCCCCAAUUCCAUAAUAUCUGCGUAAGAAUUCAAAUCAAAUUCAAUUUUAAAUACAAACCUAAUCACCAAAUCAAUCGUUUCUAGGUAAGAAUUCAAAUCAACUUCAACUUAAAAUACAAACCCUAAUACCAAAAUCGAACGUUUAUGUGUAAUAAGUCAAAUCAAUUUGAUUUUAAAAAAAUAUAAAGAUUUGUAUAUGAACAAUUACCUGUGAAAUGAGGGAAUAACUUUGAACCAUUGGAUAAGGAAAUUGAACAACAAAGAUGGAAUUUUUUUGAUACCAUUGGAUGAACAACACAACCAAUAUGGAGCAGAUGAACGUUUGCUCCGAAAGCUAUAAUUCGAACAGGUAUAGAGAUACGAAAGUGGAUGAGGGAAUAGGAAGAAUAAGAUUUUAGUAUGCACCAUUGAAGGAAGAUGAAUGAUGAUCUAGGAGAAGGAAGAAGAUGGAAGCCGAAUAUAUUAUUUAAGGAUUUAAGAAUUUCAAUUGGAAAAAUAAUUUUGUCAAAUAAAAAUAGUUUUUUUUUAAAAUUAAAUUCAAAUAAAAGUUUUUUUAGAUAAUAAAUUAUUAUUAACUUAAUGAAAGACUGCUACGCAAUAAAUAUAUUUUUUUAUAUAUAAAUGGUUUAUUGUAUACCUCCUGCAUGCAGGGACCGAGCUAAAAAUUAAGAGUAGUGGGGUUAUAUAUAUAUAUAUAUAUAUAUAUAUAUAUAUCCUUUGCUCCGCAAAAGCAGAGAAAGGCUGCUUAUGCUUGGUUAAUAACCACCCAUUAACUUUGAUUUGUUUACCCAUGCAAGCCCUUCCUGAACACCAAAUAUGUUGAUAGAGAUGAACAAUCUCAUUUGAAGCAUCACAUGCAAGAAGUAGAUAGUUGUGUGGUUUUCCAUCCAUGCCAAAUCCUAUGAAAAUGUUGAGUAAAUGCGCAUUUGUUGGCAUUAAUUAAAAAAAGGUGAUGAAAUAAUUAUAAUCCACAUACCAAUAUGCUAAGAUGAAAUUUUACAUUCAAUGAAAGUAGAGAUGAUGAACCUCCCUGUCAUGUUGUCAGUGAUCAUUUCAGGAGGUUUAUUGAUAUCAUCCAAACAUUUCUUAUAAAAAAAGUUUUGCAUAUUCAUUAAAAUGUGUGUUAACAACAAAAAUAGGAUGGCCAUACGAGUUGAAAACUCACACAAGGGUGAAUCCUCAUUUUGGCAACAUGUCCCAAAGUGAGAUAUUUUAGGUCAACUAGAAUGUUCCAAAUGCUUUGAAGGAACCAUAUGAUACCACUUAUACUAGAUUAUCAUCCAUAAAUUGUAUUGAUUUUAACAAAGUAAAAGAUCUCAUAUCACAAAUUUCAGGGUAUGUAAAAACAAUAUUUUGUACAAACCAAAAUAGUAAGAUUGCACAAUUCACACAGCAAAAAACUAAUAUGCUAUUCCACUCCAUAAAUAGAGAGGGAGGGAGGGAGGGAGGGAGGAAGGGGGAGGGCACUAUCCAACAAUCACACACUAGUAAGUUAAGUCUUAUAUAUGUCCAAUAACAAGCCCUCACAAUCUUCUAUUGGUUAUUAUUCUUAUCAAAAUAUUUAAUCUAAAAAAAGUAAAAAAACAACAACAAUCAAACCUUAUUCCAUUAAGUGAGAUCGGCUAACAUGAAUUAACUCUGAUUUGUUUACCCAUGCCAGCCCUUCUUCAUGUAUAUUUUUUGUUUUCAAACUAUUUUUGAGUAAACUGUUUGCAAUAAUUACUUUAACUGGGAUAUUUAAGAACAAAUCAUCAAAAUAACUCACAAUGAUCAUACAAACUUAAAUUUUAAAUAAUAUCACAAAUAUAAAUUUUCAUUUUAUGCAACUGAAAUGUUAACAAUUUAAUUUGAAACCCUAAAGAUUAAUUAAAUGAAUAUUAUUUCAUAUUCUUCCAAUUUUAGUGCAAAUGCAAUUUUUCAGAAUCUAUGAAUUUCAUGAAAAUACAAUCCCUAAUCCCAAUUCCAUAAUAUCUUGCGUAAGAAUUCAAAUCAAAUUCAAUUUUAAAUACAACUAAUCACCAAAUCAAAUCGUUUCUAGGUAAGAAUUCAAAUCAACUUCAACUUAAAUACAAACCCUAAUACCAAAAUCGAACGUUUAUGUGUUAAUAAGUCAAAUCAAUUUGAUUUUAAAAAAAUAUAAAGAUUUGUAUAAUGAACAAUUACCUGUGAAAUGAGGGAAUAACUUUGAACCAUUGGAUAAGGAAAUUGAACAACAAGAUGGAAUUUUUUGAUACCAUUGGAUGAACAACACAACAAUAUGGAGCCAGAUGAACGUUUGCUCCGAAAGCUAUAAUUCGACAGGUAUAGAGAUACGAAAGUGGAGUGAGGGAAUAGGAAGAAUAAGAUUUUAGUAUGCACCAUUGAAGGAAGAUGAAUGAUGAUCUAGGAGAAGGAAGAAGAUGAAGCGAAUAUAUUAUUUAAGGAUUUAAGAAUUUAAUUGGAAAAAUAAUUUUGUCAAAUAAAAAUAGUUUUUUUUUAAAAUUAAAUUCAAAUAAAAGUUUUUAGAUAAUAAAUUAUUAUUAAUUAAUGAAAGACUCGACGCAAUAAAUAUAUUUUUUAUAUAUAAAUGGUUUAUUGUAUACCUCUGCAUGCAGGGACCGAGCUAAAAAUUAAGAGUAGUGGGGUUUAUAUAUAUAUAUAUAUAUAUAUAUAUAUAUAUAUAUUAUAUAUAUAUAUAGUAUAUAUAUAUAUAUAUAUAUAUAUAUAUAUAUAUAUAUAUAUAUAUAUAUAUAUAUAUAUAUAUAUAUAUAUUAUAUAUAUAAUAUAUAUAUAUAUAUAUAUACUAUAUAUAUAUUAUAUAUAUAUAUAUAUAUAUAUAUAUAUAUAUAUAUAUAUAUUAUAUAUUUAUAUAUAAUANNNNNNNNNNNNNNNNNNNNNNNNNUAAUGAAUAUUAUAAUAUUUUAUAUCCUAUAAAUAUAUUAAUAAUAUAAUACUAUAUAAAAGAUAUAUAAAUAAUAUAAUAAGUAUAGUCAGAUAUAAAUGUUUACAGGUUAAAAGCCUUUUAAACUAUUAUCAUUAUAUAUAGAUUAUAAGUGUUGUACAAAAUAAAGUAAUAUCUAUAGUAUUAUUCUGAGGAAACAUAUUGCUGCGAAGUGUAAUGGUGCUUCAGAUGACCCUUUGUGAGUGAAAAUCAAAUGCUUUGAAUGUGCUUAAGUCCCGGACGGUGAAUUUCAAAACCUGAGGUAAUCCCGGGGCCUAGUGUAUCGUUUUUUGUUCGGCAAUCACAGGAACGCGGGAGGAUGCCCAGUCAGGAAUCCUCACCCCCUAUACCGCUUGACAAAGCCGCUCGUGUCCUCUCAUGACAGCUUCCCAGUAGAGUGACAGUAUCAGCAGCACUGUAUUAUCGCCAAAGUAGAGUGACUAGUAUCCAGACUGUAAUACUAUCCUGUCAGCGGAGUCGAUCCAGUGUUCAAACUGUAUCUUCCAGCUAACCAGCGGAGUAGUUCCGCAUACCCGAACUAGAUAUAUAACUAGAAGUGAUGAUUGCAUGAUAUUCAUACUAUAUAUAAGUAGUUAUCUAAUAUAUAAUAUCCUCCUCACAGUCCAAUUUACUCGCAUUAUUCAUUUUAAAAGCGAAAGAAGCAAAUAACAAAUAGAAAGUAGAAGAUUAAGCAAACACUGCGAUUUUAUCUGUCGUAUGGUUAAAAAACAGAAAAUUGUGUAUAUUAUCAUUAUUCCCGAUUAUUUGAAAAAAAGAAAUAACAGGAACAGAUCUGUGAGGUAUACCGAUUUAUUUUAUGUUACGAAUGAAGAUUCUAUAAAUUACUCGCCCGAAUAGGCAACAGGUCGAUUUGUUCAGCUACGACAGUAAAAAAUUAGUUUUUGUAUUUUUUACACAGUCAUUCAUCACCAUCAUCCGUUAGUUACUUUAUAGGAUUUUUAAAAUAAAAGCUCAACUUCUUUUAAUAUUCUGACGUCUAUGAUUAACUGACGGUGUAAAAUCCUUUUACACUUGUCGUGUAUUUCAAUUAAACUCUUUAUUUUAUUAAAAAUAUAUAUUCAUUUCUUACAUGGAACAAAUUAUUUUUCAAAAAAAAAUUAAAAAAGUAAGCAAAAGUAGAUAAAUUUAAAUUUAGUAAGAAAUGUGUAAAAGAUUAAUAAUUAUUAAUUAUAUUUAGUGUGAGUCACUAUAGAAUUUUCUUUUAAUUUGUAGUACAUUUGGUUAUAUUAUUAUGUUUCUAGAAUUUAAUAUCAUAAUGAUCUUAGUGAGGGCAUAGCUCACUCUUCCGACAUAUAGCUCCGUCCUCUGCUGCACGGGUUAAAACGGUCUAUUGUUUUUCUAUUGGUGAGUUUAAAUUAGCCAAUUUGGUGAUUCACCUUAGAAGUCCCCUUUACUAAAUAGUAUUGAGAGCUAGUGAGGGGUCUAGCUCAUUACACAUAAUAACUUAUCAUAAUUGAUUUAAUUAAGAUAGAGUGCAUAGAUUUGGAGGCCUUCCACAUAUAGUAUGCCCUUUGAAAUAUAGAGGUAUAUAUAUAUAUAUAUAUAUAUACACAAAUUUAUCAAUUAUCUUUUAAAAGAAAAACAAUAAAAAUAGAAUAGUAGAAAUUAAGAAACACUUUAUCGUGAGGGAAAAAAUAAUACAUAUUCGAUUUAUUUGAAAAAAAUAGGAAAAUAAACGAAAAUUGGUUACCUUUUAUUUAUGAGAUUAAUUACUAUACGCUGUCAGUGUAAAAAAUUUUACACAGUCGAUUCAUCACCAUCAUCCGUUUGUAUUACUUUAUAGAUUUUUAAAAUAAAAGUCAAACUUCUUUUAAUAUCUGACGUCUAUGAUUAACUGACGGUGUAAAAUCCUUUUACACUGUCAGUGUAUUUCAAUUAAACUCUUUAUUUUAUUAAAAAUAUAUAUUUCAUUUCUUACAUGGAACAAAUUAUUUUUCAAAAAAAAUAAAUUAAAAAAAGUAAGCAAAAGUAAGAUAAAUUUUAAAUUUAGUAGAAAGAUGUGUGUAAAAGAUUAUAUUAAUUAGAAUUUAUUUAUUUAGUGUGAGUCACUAUAGAAUUUUCUUUUUAAUUUGUAGUACAUUUUGUUAUAUAAUUAUGUUAUCUAGAAUUUAAUAUCAUAAUGAUCUUAGUGAGGGCAUAAGCUCACUCAUUCCGACAUAUAGCUCCGUCCUGCUUGCACGGUAACGGUCUAUUGUUUUUCUAUUGGUGAGUUAAAAUUAGCCAAUUUGGUGAUUUCACCUUAGAAGUCCCCUUUACUAAAUAGUAUGUAGAGCUAGUGAGGGGUCUAGCUCAUUACACAUGAAUAACUUUCAUAAUUAUUUAAUUAAGAGAGUGCAUAGAUUUUUGGAGGCCCUUCCAAUAUUGAUGCCCUUUAAAUAUUGAGGCAAUGUCGUGUUACACUUUGCACAUGCAUAGUAUUUGGUUAUGAUGAUUUAUGAGGAAGAUGGUCCUCAUUUAUAAGAAUACUUUUGAGUAUAUAUUAUCUAAUAUAAGAUUUUUAAUAUUUUAAGUUAAGCUAAUCCAACGAUCUAGAAUUUGUACCGUGAGGAGAUAAAAUUCAAACGCUUCGAGCUAAAAUAUACAAACUCCACCAUAGUUUUAAAUUGCAUUUCUUAACCGCAAUGCGGCCGCAAUAUUAUAGAUGUAGAUACAGUAGUCUCCACAACCAUAUUAGACCGCAAUUGUAUUAGUGAUUUGAUCCAACCACCUUAGAAACCAUAUCACCCUAUUUCAUCCAUGUUCAAGUAUUUUCAUUGAAUCUCAAAGUUUUAGAAUAGCAAGACUCAAUUUACAAUGAAAAACUAUAACAUUAAGUAUUUUAUAAGAAUGUCUUUCAAAUACUUCUAUUUAAAAUUUUUCGCUCCAACCGCCACAAUACCCAUGGUAAUAAUCGCAAUAUUCUCAACACCCACAACCACACAGUAAUUUUAAAACAAGGAACUCCACUAUUUUCCAUUAUUUUUCGCCCAUCCUUUUCUCUUUCCAUGUCAGUAGGUAUCGUAUUAGGGGGCUAGCGAUUUCUUCGAGUUUACGAAUUCAGGAUUGAAGCAUGGGUUUAAACUAUGCGAAUAUCUAUUUCUACGCUCUCUUGCAUUGCAGCUGAAUUUUUCAAACUUACUUGAAUUUCAUGCAGAUGCAUUUUCUUUGCGACGCAUGGCACGUGAGUUGUUACCAUAUUUUGUUUAGCUUCAGUAGUAUACAACGGAUCAAAUCUGUGCUUAUGAGCAUUUGUUACCCUAAUUUAAUUAUAUUUAUAUCAGUAACCUUGAUGUAUCAAUUCCAUAAUUCCUCUUAAACUAAAUAAUUAGAUGCACCUAAGAUAUUCUUGUUGUGAGAAAUCACAUCAUGGGUUAUUAUCUUUUUACUGUUUGAACUAGUGGAACCUAUUACUGCGUUUUGAUAAUCAAUUAGCUCUGAGUUGAUUUUGUUUUGUUUAAACAGCUAACGAUAUUGCGUAAUUGGUUACAUAUUAUUAGUUUCAAUUUUUUGUUUUGUUACUUGUGUACUAAUCUAUUAAAAUUGUAUAUGCACCUUGGAGGUAUUAUUGUUAAGUUUAAUGCAUAUGUGAAUGAGGAUUCUCACCCUCAAUUAUGCUCUCUAAUUUCCUCUUACUCUCUCUCCAUAUUCAUUACUCCAUUUUUCACCAUCCUUAUGAUUCCAAGUUUUAACAAUUCUUGUUUACGUAUAGUAAAAUGUCACUCGUAACCUAUUUUGAUUGGAUGCUUUUUCAUGAGAUCAAUCUUGGAUUUUUACCCUUGUAAUCCAUUGCUCUAUGCUAGAAAAUAAAUCUGAAAAAUUUAUCUGUAAUAAAAUGAAAUCAAGUAUAAUAUAAACCUAUUUUGAUUGGAUGCUUUUUCAUGAGAUCAAUCUUGGAUUUUUACCCUUGUAAUCCAUUGCUCUAUGCUAGAAAAUAAAUCUGAAAAAUUUAUCUGUAAUAAAAUGAAAUCAAGUAUAAUAUAUAAAAGGAAUGCUUAAUUUGAUCCUUCAAAACAUAUUUUUACAAGAGGUUUUUACCGUACAAUUAAUAGCUAAAAGUUCAUAGAAUUUUACUUCUUUAGAAUAAUCUCUCAUUUUAGAUAUAAAAGUAAAACAUAUAAGUAAGCAACUGGUUGAUGAAAAUUUCACAACUUUUGAAACAGUAUGUAGUAACACUUUAAUUUCAAGGAUUAAUUAAUUUGGUAACCAAGACCAUAACUGCGUAUUAAAGUAGCUAAUAAAAAGUUUAUUCUUUUGUAAUGCAGAAUAUGUAAGAAAGAAACAUGGAGUAUAAGAAGUAAAGCCAUGGUCCCCUGCCACCGAUUUCAGCUAUAAGAAUUGCAAGUAUGCUCUUUGUCUGGUAAUGGAGAUGAUGAAGCCUAUACGCAUUGAAGGGACGUGCAAGGCUACAAGUAGUGAACUGCAAUGGCAAACACCGUGUUUGAUGGAGAGCUAGAAGCUCCGGACGUGCAUUGACAGUGCACAAAANNNNNNNNNNNNNNNNNNNNNNNNNNNNNNNNNNNNNNNNNNNNNNNNNNNNNNNNNNNNNNNNNNNNNNNNNNNNNNNNNNNNNNNNNNNNNNNNNNNNNNNNNNNNNNNNNNNNNNNNNNNNNNNNNNNNNNNNNNNNNNNNNNNNNNNNNNNNNNNNNNNNNNNNNNNNNNNNNNNNNNNNNNNNNNNNNNNNNNNNNNNNNNNNNNNNNNNNNNNNNNNNNNNNNNNNNNNNNNNNNNNNNNNNNNNNNNNNNNNNNNNNNNNNNNNNNNNNNNNNNNNNNNNNNNNNNNNNNNNNNNNNNNNNNNNNNNNNNNNNNUUUGUAAUGCAGAAUAUGUAAGAAAGAAACAUGGAGUAUAAGAAGUAAAGCCAUGGUCCCCUGCCACCGAUUUCAGCUAUAAGAAUUGCAAGUAUGCUCUUUGUCUGGUAAUGGAGAUGAUGAAGCCAUUAGCCACCUCCUCUAUCAGACAUAGGUGUAAAGCAUUAUGCUUCCAUAGCCAUGCAAGCUGCAGAAUGUCCAAUUCUCAACAUCCCACUUUCAAUGACGUGUCCAACCUUCACCACCCUCUCUUCUCUAUAAAUUACCACUUCUCAUUAAGGUUCUCCGCAUCACAACCAACAUUCUCUUAGUAUCUCUCUUCAUGGCUAAGCUUCUUGCACUUUCUCUUUCAUUCUGUUUUCUACUUUUGGGUGGCUGUUUUGCUUUGACAGAACAGCCACAGCAAAAUGAGUGCCAGCUAGAACGCCUCGAUGCCCUCGAGCCUGAUAACCGUAUAGAAUCGGAAGGUGGGCUCAUUGAGACUUGGAAUCCCAACAACAAGCAAUUCCGAUGUGCUGGUGUGGCCCUCUCUCGUGCUACCCUUCAACGCAACGCCCUUCGCAGACCUUACUACUCCAAUGCUCCCCAAGAAAUUUUCAUCCAACAAGGUUACUUAUUUUGAUCUUAUACCAACUUCUUUACGUACAUUACAUGCAUAUUAGCAUACUAAUUAGUGUUCUACUAUACCAAUUACAGGUAAUGGAUAUUUUGGCAUGGUAUUCCCCGGUUGUCCUGAGACCUUUGAAGAGCCACAAGAAUCUGAACAAGGAGAGGGACGCAGGUACAGAGACAGACAUCAAAAGGUUAACCGAUUCAGAGAGGGUGAUAUCAUUGCAGUUCCUACUGGUAUUGUAUUUUGGAUGUACAACGACCAAGACACUCCAGUUAUUGCCGUCUCUCUUACUGACAUUAGAAGCUCCAAUAACCAGCUUGAUCAGAUGCCUAGGGUGAGCACUGAGCAUAAUUAAACUUCCCAUAUAAGAUAAUAUGUUGUCCAAAACAGUAACAUAGAUUCUAUCUAUCUAUGUUUGACAGAGAUUCUAUCUUGCUGGGAACCACGAGCAAGAGUUUCUACGAUACCAGCAUCAACAAGGAGGAAAGCAAGAACAAGAAAAUGAAGGCAACAACAUUUUCAGUGGCUUCAAGAGGGAUUUCUUGGAAGAUGCUUUCAACGUGAACAGGCAUAUAGUAGACAGACUUCAAGGCAGGAAUGAAGACGAAGAGAAGGGAGCCAUUGUCAAAGUGAAAGGUGGACUCAGCAUCAUAAGCCCACCCGAGAAGCAAGCGCGCCACCAGAGAGGCAGCAGACAAGAGGAAGAUGAAGAUGAAGAGAAGCAGCCGCGCCACCAGAGAGGCAGCAGACAAGAGGAAGAGGAAGAUGAAGAUGAAGAGAGGCAGCCGCGUCAUCAAAGGAGAAGAGGAGAGGAGGAAGAAGAAGACAAGAAAGAGCGCCGCGGCAGCCAAAAAGGCAAAAGCAGAAGGCAAGGAGACAAUGGGCUUGAGGAAACAGUUUGCACUGCUAAACUUCGAUUGAACAUUGGCCCGUCUUCAUCACCAGACAUCUACAACCCUGAAGCUGGUAGAAUCAAAACUGUUACCAGCCUGGACCUCCCAGUUCUCAGGUGGCUCAAACUAAGUGCUGAGCAUGGAUCUCUCCACAAAGUAUGUUUUUUCAUAUUUUAAUUUGUUUUUCCAUGAAUCAAUUUCAUGUCGAACUAUGUGCUAACUCAUUACAAUCUUCAUACAGAAUGCUAUGUUUGUGCCUCACUACAACCUGAAUGCAAACAGUAUAAUAUACGCAUUGAAGGGACGUGCAAGGCUACAAGUAGUGAACUGCAAUGGCAACACCGUGUUUGAUGGAGAGCUAGAAGCCGGACGUGCAUUGACAGUGCCACAAAACUAUGCUGUGGCUGCAAAGUCACUAAGCGACAGGUUCUCAUAUGUAGCAUUCAAGACCAAUGAUAGAGCUGGUAUUGCAAGACUUGCAGGGACAUCAUCAGUUAUAAAUAAUCUGCCGUUGGAUGUGGUUGCAGCUACAUUCAACCUGCAGAGGAAUGAGGCAAGGCAGCUCAAGUCCAACAAUCCCUUCAAAUUUCUAGUUCCAGCUCGUCAGUCUGAGAACAGAGCUUCGGCUUAGAUUUCGCACCAAAUCAAUGAAAGUAAUGAAUAAGAAAACUAAGGCUUAGAUGCCUUUGUUACUUGUGUAAAAUAACUCGAGUCAUGUACCUUUUUGCGGAAACAGAAUAAAUAAAAGGUAAAAUUUCAGUGCUCUAUGCUUUUCUACUCCAAGUUAUAACCAGAUGAUAUAUAACAAUCACAAUAAAUAAAUGUGAGUAAAAAAAUAUUGAAGAAAAAUGAUGUAUUGGAAUUAUAACUAGCCGGACUGGAUUUAAGGAGUUACAAUGAAAUUUUUUGAGAUAGCUUGGAGGAUGUUUGAUUCUAGUAGAUUUUUUCACACUGUUAUGGGUAUUUUAAAUAUAAAUAAUGUGGGUAAUAAUAGGGAUGCAUAUUAGAGUUGGAGUCAUAAAUGUAACUGGGGAUCCAUGAAGGAAUCAUAAAAAAAGAACAGCAUCAUCAUCAGUGGCAUAGUGAGUGACAUUGGAAGCAAAUGAAGUGACAUUAUCAUUGUGAUACUUAUAAGGAAAAAUAUCCGCUUAAAAAAACAUGUCUAGAAAUGAAUGUGCUAUCCAGAUACAUGUCAUAAAGAUCAUAAACCUCAGGUUUACAUCAGACAAAAAUCCACUUCCUAACUCUAGGGUCAAGCUUAUCCCUUCUUAGCAUCAAGGUGUUGGCAAAGGAUAAGCAACAAACACUUUUAGAUCAAUAAAAGUAGGUGAAGAUUGAAACAAAAUCUCAUAGGUAGUUAUGUUGUUUAUCACAUGAGAAAAGGCAAUUUAUUAAUGCCGAGAGUGACAUGGCAUAAAGCAAAAGACCAAAACCGUUUUGAAAGUCUUGAGGGAAAAAGCAAAGAUCUAAUAACAUUCAAUAGGUGUCUAUGUUUUCUCUCAACAACAGAAUUUAUUGUGAAGUUUCUACACAAUUCUGAUGUAAAAUGCUGAAGGAGAUAUAAAAGGAAGACAUAUUAAGUUACACUCCAUUAUCACUUUGUAGAAACAAAUUUAACAAAAACUAGAAAUGCAAGAUUUAGUGCCAAACUUAUUUUUCAUAAAGAUUGCUCAAGUAAAUUUAGAAAAUGUUGUCAACAAUAGUAAAGGAAAAUUGAUAAUUUUUAAGGAAAUGUUGAUAAUAGACCCCAAAUGUCCAUUUGUAUGAGAUCAACACAUUUUAAAGAUACCUGAACACUAGUAGGAGAAGGUAAUUUUGUUGGUUAGAAAAAUGACAAUGAUCACAAAUGAUGCUCUUAUUAGAUUAUAUGUAUUUAAAAUUCUUAAAAAGUUGUUCUAAAACAAUGUGAGAACAUAAAGCAUAUACUCUAACACGGACACAAGCAAGUGUGUGAAUCCGAUAAAUAUGUUUUAUCGAAGUCUGGUGUGUUUGUAGGAUUUGGAUAUUAUAAUAAUGGUAUGUUUAUGAUGAAUUUGAAUGGAGUUCCUAAUGAUUCUGGUUCUGUAUUUAUGUCCUUCGAAGUUAAUCAAUUCUAUCGUUAUGGGCAUGCCUCGUCUAGGACACGUACAUUAUAAAAGAAUGCAUGAAAUGUCUAAAGAUGAUUUAAUUCCUGUUUUGAUAAAAAUGUAGAAAAUUGUAAAACUUGCAUGUUAACAAAGAUCACUAGGCAACUUUUAAAAGUAUAACAAGGAAAUCUGUCAUUCUUGAGUUGAUACACUAUAGUGAUUUAUGUGAUUUGCAUGCUACUCCAUCAUUAGGACAUAAAAAAUAUUUUGUCACUUUCAUAGAUGAUGCAUCUAGAUUCUGCUAUGUUUAUUUGCUGCAACGCUAAGGACGAAUCCUUAGAUAAAUUCCAAAAUUUAUAAAACUGAAGUUGAAGUGCAACAUAAUGUGUUGAUUAAAACAUUACGUACAAGAUAGAGUGAUGAAUAUUAUGAUCUGUGAUUUUUCCAAUCCGUAGGAAUCAUUCAUGAGACUACGGCACCUUAACACCAUCAACAAAAUGGUGUGGCUGAAAGGAAAAUAGAGUGUUUAGAAAAUGGUGAAUGCCAUGUUAUCUUACUCUGGUUUGAGUGAAAGGUUUUGGGGAGAAGCUAUGUUAACGGCUUGCUAUUUGUUAAAUAGGGUUCCCUAAUAAAAGGAACAAAGACUACCCCAUAUGAACUUUGGUAUAAAGAAACGAUCCAACUUAACAUUUUCUACGUGUUGGGGUGUAGGGCCGUGUUAGACUCCCGGACCCAAAAAGGAAAACUUUGGAUGAAAAGGGUGUAGCUUGCAUCUUUGUUGGAUAUGCUGAGCACUCCAAGCCUAUAGGUUUUAUGUUAUAGAACCUAAUGACUCGACUUCUAUUAACAUAAUUAUAGAAUCGAGAGAUGCAUAUUUGAUGAGAUUGGUUUCUCUCUAUACCUAGACCAAAGGACUCUAUACCUAAUUGCAGAUGAAUCUCUAAGGGAUGAAUCAUUCAAAUGAUGUCCCAAGUGAGACACUUGAACGCCCGUAGGAGGCAAAAGAGCUAGAAAAUCUAGAUCUUAUGGAUCUGAUUUUCAACUAUUUAGUUGAGGGAUCAAAGGAUCACGAUUGACACUCAUAACUAUUAUUGCCUAUAGUAAUAGAGGAGGAUCAAAGAACGUAGAUGAAGCUGUGAAAUCUUCGUAGAUUUCUGGCUUUUUUGGAAAGAAGCAAUUGACGAAGCGAUUGGUUCUAUCAUGAAAAUAAUAACUUGGGUAUUAUCUGAUUUACACCAGGUUGCAAAACCAUUGGUUUGCAAUGGAUCUUCAAAAAGAAAGAUGAAAGUCGAUUGGUACAAUGACAAUUACAGCUAGAUUAAGUUAUCCAAGGCUUCAGAGAAAAGGAGAGGAUUGAUAUUUCGAUACCUAUGCUCGCUGUUUGCCCGUAUCACUAACUAUUAGAUUGUUGAUUGCCUUGGCGGCUCAUUCAUAAUCUAGUGAUUCAUCCAAAUGGAUGUAAAACAUACAUUUCUGAAUGGUGAUUUUGGAGGAAGAAGUGUAAUAUAGCGCAAACCUGAAGGAUUUGUAAUGCCUGGUAAUGAGCCAUACAAGUGUGUAAGCUAGUUAAGAUUCGUUGUAUGGGCGUGAAACAAGGCUCCGCAGCAGUGGCAUCAAAAGUUUGAUAUGAGGUUGUUAUUGUCUAAAUGGUUUCAUUCAAAACCAAGCUGACAAAUGUGUGUAUAGCAAAUUUGAUACUUCCGGUAAAGGAGUUUUCAUUGUUUAUAUGUUGAAUGACAUGUUGAUCAUUUGGCACCUGACCAAAAUUCAAGGUGAUAAAACGAAGAAUUUCUAUAUCAAUAGUCUCCAUAGAGGAUAAUGGGAGAAGCGACGUUAUUGCUUGGUAUUAAGAUUAACGGAGGAAUAAGGGGAUUGUAAUUACGCAAUCAAUUACAUUGAGCAAAAUACUCUAAGAAGUUUAAUUUGAUAAAAGUUGUUCUCCGGAUAAAGGUCUCGCCAUGGAUCCGGGAGAAAAGCUUAAUGACCAAAUACAGGUAAACACUGUGGGAUCAACUCGACUAUUCAAAAGCUAUAGGCUCUUUGAUGUAUGCUAAUGAAUUAACAACUAAGACCGGCAUAUUGGCAUAUGCGGUUGGAAAGUUGACAGAUUUACAGUAAUACCAGUAGACAUCAUUGGCAUGCGAUAACUAGGGUAUCAGUUAUUUGAGGGUAACAAUGAAUUAUGGAUUGUCCAUAUAAUGGGAUUUCCUUCGUGUAGAGGUUAUUCGGAUGCUAGUUGGAUAAAUAAUGCCUGAAGAAUUCAUCCUCUACAAGUGGAUGGGUGUUCUUGCUUGGGGGAGGGUGCCUCGUCAUGGCUUCAAGAAGCAAACAUGUAUAACUGGUUCCACAAUGAAUACUGAAGUUUCUGUAGGCAUUAGCUGCUGUGGUAAAGAAGGGAAUGGCUAAGAAUUUUGUAAUAUAGAAUUCCGAUAUGGCCUAAACCGUAUCAACCAAAUUUCUAUCCGUUUGUGAUAGUACGCCAACAUUGACUAAAAGCUUGAACGUCCAAAUUUACAAUGGAAGUCCUAGACAUUUUGGGUGUUUAGACAUAGUAUGAUUAGGGAAUUAAUCAUGAAUAGGGGUGAUUCGUAUUGUGAGUUUGUUCGGUUCGCGAACAAAACUAUAGCUGACACUUGACGAAGGGGUUUAGCUAGAGACUUAGUGAAGAAGUCGGUAUUGGGAAUGGGAUUAAAGUAUCCAUUUAAAUCUAUUUAAGCUAUGGUAUAACCCAAUUCCCCUUCUAAUACAACAUUAGAAGCAGAAUCAAUGUGGAGAGAUCACUGUUAAGAAUUGGAGCAAUUGUCCUUAUCUUCCAGGUAUGUGUCAGAACCCUGCAAAGUGAUGGCUGGUUGAAUUAAUAUCUCUUAAUGGUUUUCUUGGAAAAUUGCAAAAUGCAUGUGCAAAGAUUAAAAAGAAUCACCUAUGUGAGCAUGAUUUGCCGCUUCAAGAGCUGGACUUGUUCCUAUAUGCUUAAUUAAUGGAUAAGGACACAUGGCUUGUAAAGUGUCAAGUAAUGGGAAAUAGUAGAGUAUUGUAAGAAAGCAUAUGUGUACUAUAUCUUCAGACACCUCAAAGGAUUGACGGGUUCAAUCGCUAGACACCUCGAUUUUCGAGUAUUUGGAAUGUGUAAAUUUGUACGUAAGAUAAAAUUCAAUCGCAAGACAAUUUCAAUUUAUGCAUUUGUUUGAUCGUUAUACCUGUGUGUAUAGCCCUUGUAAUAUAUUAUUGCAAUGAUACUAGAGUAAAUCAAGGAUACACUAAAUGGGGGGAUUGUUGUGAUUUUAGUAUCAUCAAUGUUAUUUUAGUAAGUAAUGUGAUUUACUACAGGGCGAUGCAAUUAAUGCGUUAAAGCUUGGAAAAUGAGUUGGGAUAGUGCGGAGUGCACAGCUCGUCGAGCCAAAACGUAUAAGUGAAUGCGAAAAUAAUUGAAACUGGUUCCAAGGGGAGAAGCCGCUGACGGGGUGUGGGGCAGGCGCCCCGUUCGAAAUUUUCUUGAAUCAGUUGAAUCCUUUCCCCAACCGACGUAACCGGUUUCCUGAACAGUUGCGUCCUUUUCGUUCUGUUAUUGAUCUCCCCAUAAUAAGGAGUCAAUUUGGCCCUCAGUUUAAAAAAAGAGAAUAUACGAACCAAACUUUCUCUCUACAUUCCUGAAACAUUUUUUCUUUUCGCAGAAACAAAUUGUUUCUUCAAGAUUAUCCCCAGCAAAGAUUAUCGUGAACCCCAGGCAAGAAUAGGGUUCGAAAUUACUUUUUUCGGAAAAGUGGUACGAACACGCUUCUUCGAAGUUUAUCCAGGAUUAUCAUACCCGAUUAUCUAACAGAAAAGUUGUCAACAAUAGUAAGCGAAAACUUGAUAAUUUUUAAGGAAAUGUUGAUAAUAGACCCCCAAAUGUCCAUUUGUAAAUGAAGUCAUCAACACUUUUUUAAAUGAGUACCUGAACACUAGUAGGAAGAAGGUAAUUUUGUGUUGGUUUAGAAAAAAUGACAAUGGAUCACAAAUGAUCUCUUAUUAGAUUAUAAUGUAUUUAAAAUUCUUAAAAACCAAUUGUUCUAAAACAAUGUGAGAAAACAUAAAGCAUAUACUUCUAACACGGACAACUGAUAAUGACAUGAGACAUGUCGCGAACACUAUUGAUAUAAAAACAUAUACUGACACUAUAUAUAUUAUAUAUAUAUAUAUAUUAUAUAUAUAUAUAUAUAUAUAUUAUAUAUAAUUAUAUAUAUAUAAUAUAUAUAUAUAUAAUAUUAUAUAUAUUAUUACAAUUAAAUAAAUAAAUAUUAUUUAUAAAGUCUAAAUUAAGAAUCAAAAUAUAUACAUAGACAUCUAAAGUUGAGAAAUUUAUUUAUCCAUCUACUAUAAAAAAAUGUUUAAAAUAUUUAAGUAUCUUUAAAUCCUCCAUGAUUACGCAUUUUUUCCACGUCUUCCAUUUCUAUAUCUAUGUGUUCAAGAAGUGAUAAAGUAUUGAAAACAAAGAGGAUAAAUUUGUACAUCAAGCUCUGCCAUAGUCAUGAGACAGCAGAAUGAACGAAAGUAAAUCACGAAAUGGUUCAUAACAUUGACUUCAAUAAAUGGUGCCAGUGCUUAAUACAGUUAAUUCAAGAAUCGACUCCAGAGUUACCAAGAACACUCGACCGGAAAACCCAGUCUGACCAUGAGAAGUUUGUUCGACCGAAACGAUGACCAGGAACACCAAGUGCUGCGAACCAAUACCCAGGGUGGUCCAACGGUCUCGACCGUUUGUGUUAGCAAUAGAAAUCCAGAUCCCGACAUGUGUCAAGGAAGGUUCAACAAGAUGCAAUGGCUGGGGAACAAAAUUUAUAGGCCAUUGUCGAAUGAAUCAUGGUUCGAAAUGGGGUAAACCCAAGCCUUCAAAGGCCAACGUAUCCGUCUCCAUUACCAAACUUUGUUUUACAAACAAAACUACCUUAGGGAUGGAAGGUUCCAAAGUUCACCAAGUUCACUGGAGACACUAAAGAGUCCACUGUGGAACAUGUUUCUAGAUAUCAAACAAAAGCUGGUGACAUAGAAACAAUGAGGACUUGAAAAUGAAAUAUUUCCCAAGUUCCCUCACAAAGAACGCGUUCACUUGGUUUACGAUGCUACUUCCACAAUCCGUCCAUACGUGGAAGCAAUUAGAGAGAUUGUUCCAUGAACAGUUCUAUAUGGGACUUUUGAAAAUAAGUUUGAAAGAACUGGCCAGCGUCAAACGAAAGACCUCUGAGGCAAUCGAUCAAUAUCUUAACAGGUUUAGACUUUUAAAAACAAGAUGAUUUACUCAAGUCCCUCAGCACGAAUUAGUCUAAAUAGACGCAAGCGGUUUAGACUAUUCUAUCAGGAAAAAGUUAGACACACAAUAUCUUAAGGAUAUGGCACAAUUAGCUGAUAGAGUUCGAAAGAUCGAACGCUUGAAAGUUAAAAAAACCAAAAUUGAUAGAUACCAUAAGAAAUAGAAAGUGUUUUAUGUAGCAGCUGACGAAUACUCUUCUGACGAUGAAGAGCUUGUCGACGAAAGCGAAGUCAACGUGGCUGAGCUCAAGCCAGGACCUCCUUACACGUGUAAAUUGUUGAAACCAUCAAACGGGAAAAGUCCCAUCGAAAUGGAGAAAACGGAUCAAUACGUUGCUAAAACUUACACUUUCGAUGUGUUUAAAUGUGACGAGAUAUUUGAUUUAUUAGUUAGAGAUGGUCAAAUUAUUAUUCCUCAAGGUUUAAAAGAUCCUUGAUCGGGAAAAUAGCAAGUGUACUAUUUUGCUGAUGUAGUAAUAAGAGGAAUGUUUCCCAAAGAUCGAUCUCGAGGAUUGCGCAGCAAUAUAUGAGUAAACAAUCACUCAAUUGAAUAAAAAGUAAUAGUUUGGGUUUUGUAAAAUUCACUGUAAGGAGAAAUAAAAUAAAUAAAUAUUUUCACAGAUUAUAAUGAUAUGCCAAAGAUGGUGUAUGAAAAUCUCUUGUAAUGACCCUUGAGUGUAUAUCUCCUUAAUAAUGAAAAUUGUUUCAAUUACCAGAUCUUAAGAUUGUUUUCCUCUAAGACCUCGGAGGAAAACAUUUGGUAUUCAAUCUAACCUCUAAGUCCUUAGGUGAUUAUGAUGAAACCAAGUCAUUUUAAUUUAACAAAAAUAAACCAGUAACCAUAGGGUUCCCUAGUCCUAGGUGAUAUCUAUCAAAACCUUAACAAUUGCAAUCCUAUUAAUCGUUAACCAUACACCAAUCUUAAUUUUUCUGAUAAAGAAGCAUUACACAGAUUACACAGUGAAAUUGAUAACAAAUAACAUAUAUUAAGGAAAAUCUAACAUCAGAGUCAUUACAUGAUCAAUUCAGGGACACCCCCUGGCAUUGGGGGGUUUAGCCUCUCAUAUUAUUCAAAUUAGAUACAAGAUAAAAUUGAGACAUUACAUAAAGAUCGGAAUCCCGUUGAUCUUCAAUCGCGUCCGCUCUUGAAGGAUCUCCGUUCUUCUUCGCUUUCCACUGCUUCAAUCUUGAUCGUCUCUAAUUUUUGAUCGUGUAAAAAGUCCCUCUCUUCAUAUUCAAAUCCCCUGUAAAUAGUUCCUGAUGACAAUUUUUAUCUAGCAAAAGUCCAAAAUACCCUCCGACAUAAGCCGUGCCAAAAACAACACAAAACUGGAAAAUCAAGUGUCCAAGCCAACACUGGCCGUGUCAGGCAACACGACAGGCCGUGUUGGGCUUCUGGUGCAAACAGGCUUGACACACCCCUUCAGGGAGGCUGACAAGGGCACCUGUGUCAGCUCCCUGUUUUUCCUUUUCCAAGUGUCUUCUCCUGACACGGCUUGUGUUGGGCAACACGGGUGGUCGUGUCAAGACUACUGUACUGUUCAAUUUUCUUCUUCCGACGGGCCCAGAACGUCUGAUUUGCUUAUCUAUCCCUCCGGUACACUUGCUUACACCUGAAAUCAAUAGAACUACCAUAAAGGGACAUAAAAUGGAGUAUGAUGAUGCAUAUAACAUGUAAUCAACAACUGGAAACAACAAUACAAAACUUCUAAAUUACUAAACAAAACAAUAAAAUAAGUGGACUAAUGUGUUACCGACUUCGUACAAAGGUGCCGAAUGAGUGUCAGAAAACAAGUAAAAUUGGAGACUGAUCACAACCCCAAACUUAUCUCAUUGCUUGUCCUAAAGUGAUGCUCGAGACAUCAGGACGGAUACCCCCAAAUUUCGCAUCCACAAUGCUACUGCGAUCUUUCACGAUCUCCUGUUCACUUUUCAAUCACAGUUUUACUCUUUCCCGAUUUCCGACUUCAACUACACUUUCCCUUUGACGCAUCUUUUGGCCUGUAGCUUUUCACACUCUCACCAAAUCUCUCGGGAUCAAAGUGUUUACACUCAAGAAAAAUAGAGCAUGCAAAGUCAACUCUUAAGUUUGAAAUACAUAUACCUUCAUAACAAGGAACACACAACACAAACAAUUCGAGGAUUUUUUGGGUUAUAGCGGGGCUAGGGUGUAAGAUGGUGAGUCAACACACAAAAAAAAAGGAAUACUAGGGGUUCAGGCUCAGAUUUCAUGUUAUUACCCUCGUAAUUAUUAUUCAAUUUAAAAAUCGGGGGUAUUUCUUUGGGACACCGUUCUUGUUGGGAUUCAUUGGCUCAUAUAUUUUCUUUUAUUGCUCUUUUGAGCAUGAUUUUUGCCAACCUUAAUACUUCUCGAUAAGUGCUUCAUGAUCUUUUUUUCUCUUUUUUUUCCUUUGAAUUUUCUCAUCUUUUUGCACUUAUCUACAAUUCAUCGGUGUUCCCAACAUUUUCAUGAAACCCCAAGCUUAGGCUUUUCCGCAAUUUCGGGAUAAACAACACUUAUCUAAGCAAGAUGUGGUAGUGUAUGAGUUUAUGGUUAUAUACAGUGGUUAAAUAACAAACAAAACGAAAUAUGGCUCAAAAUUUGGUGAACGAAGGGUAAUAAUGGCGGGUUGGCUGGAAAGGCUCAGGGUUAAAAUAAAAAUAAUGCCUCAGUGUGUACAGUGUGUUAUGAAAUUUCAGUAUCUCUAAUGCAAACCCAGAGAGACAGAGACAUACCUGAACAACUCUCAUGAUGACAAGUGUUUGGCUUUUUGUAGUCCUCACCAUGUUUUGUCUAGCUUGCAGGCUUCCAAGAUAUCUCUCAGUGUAAUGUAGCUUCGUCUUCACUUCGGUUACAGAGUAUCCCUAAGAAGUCCAUUGACAGAGAGUCGCGUCCAAUUUUUCGGGCCAGUAGCAUCAACUUUCGGGGGUUUCCAGAAGAGCAAGUAGAGGGGUGUGUCUUCCAUCCAAUCGCUCCAAGCUUCAUCAUUCAUCCGGCACGAAUGUCCUUUAAUUGUAACACAUAGAGUACCACACAACUAAUUAAAAAAAUACUAAGAACAAAACAAACAACAAAAAUAACAAAUAAUAACCCCCCCNNNNNNNNNNNNNNNNNNNNNNNNNNNNNNNNNNNNNNNNNNNNNNNNNNNNNNNNNNNNNNNNNNNNNNNNNNCCCCCCCCCCCCCCCCCACACACACACACACUUGAACUAAACAUUGUCCGUAAUGUUUAAUCCAAGAUAAAGAGGGACUCACACCGGUUCAUUGAGGUGGAGGAAAUUGCAACAUCAGAGGUUGCAUCAUCGCGUGCAUCUCGUCCAUCAGAGUCUCUUGACGGGCUUGCUAUACGCCUUAGCGUGUUUGCUCUGCUCAGAGAUCGCCAAUUUCUGUUUGCAUCCAUGACCAUUGGUUCGGCAUCACAUACCAACACCUGGGUGCAUGGAGUCCUCUGGUGGAGCAGCAAAUUACUCUUGAUCCUGCAUCUCUUCCUGUACUUCUUCCUCAGGUGGGUCACCUGCAGCAAAUGUGUCAGCAUUGUGCUCGUCCAUAUCAUCUUGGACGACACUCUCAUAUAGCCAAUUGGCCGUGUUGGAAAUUCUAAUUCGUGCAGGGUCAGGAAGAGCCAUAAUAAACUGACCUGAACUCAUUAAGGCAUAAUAAUCAGAAACUUUUGAAAUCAUACCUUGCUAGACCAAUGUGUUCAUGUCCAGUUUGUGCUUACCUGCCACCGAUGUCUCAUUAAGUGCAGUAGGGUCAUAUCCGAAAUGGUGGGAAAUUUGAGUGAUGAUGCCUCCUAUGGAGAUUCCCCAUUGGGUUGCUCUCCCCACGUGACCCAGAUAAUCCGCAAUAAAUGCUGCAAUGCUCACAGCUACCCGGUUUGCCAUGGAAAAUAAAAAGAACAGUUCCCUCUGGGUGGCUACACCUGUGCUAUCACCCCUGUCAAAAAGUGUGAAAGCCAACACCUUCUAGGCAUACCUGAAACAAUGAUUUUGAAUGCUCAAUUCCUUCGCCCCUUUAGCCACAUAGUCUGAUCGUCCCGUAAUGGCCAACCAGAAAUUCUUAGCAUCAAAACUGUCUGGUACAGCUCUGGGGCCAUAAAAGGGUAGGCGAAGAAUUUUACCCAGCUGCUCCACUGUCAACUCGUGGUCGACAUUGUAUAACCUGAAAGACAUUGUUCCUCCAAAAUACAUUGUUGUACCCGUCCAACCUUUUUUCAGCUUGAACCCAAUUGUGCUCAAGAAUUCUAAAGUGAUGCGCUCAUAGAUUGGCGCUUCACAAUGCACAAACUCAAGCAUUCCGAGGACAUGGAACAUCCUAUCCAAUCCUUCAGACAAACCUAAUUAAAAUAAAGUAUCGGAGCAAAGGUACCUUGUCGGAGUGAUUUUCCUUUUGACGUGAGAUGUGUACCUCCGUUCAUGCUCUGGGUUGUCAAAGAUGAUAUCAUGUGAGUUCGGAUGACGGAUUGUCCGUUUCCAUGGACGGGAUGAUUCCACAUCUGUUUGCUUCCUUUUGGAAAUUCGUUUCAGUGACAUUUUUUAUUCCUGCAACACAAUUUAUCACCCAAAAAAAAGUAUGGAAAACGGAAAAAAGAUUACCAUAGCCUUGUAGAGGAUGGCGAGUAGAGAAACUUUUGUGAAGGGUGCCAACAAUUUGGAUAGAGUAAGGUGCUAAAGUGCGGAGCUUUAAGGUGGUGUGGUUAUGGAGGAAGGUUAAGAACAAAUGAGGAAGGAGAGGGAUGAUGUGAAAAUGAGAGAGAGAGUGAAAGAAAAUCAGAAUUUAUUGGUAGAUUAAGGGUAAAAUGUGUUUAAAUGGUGGAAAAUCCGGGUGGGGUCCACAAAAGCACAAAAAGAAUUUUUUUGAAAAAUAUGGUCGUUGGGUCUGACACGGGCCAUGUCAGCUGACACAGGUGGCCAUGUCAGGCCAUUGUAAUUUGAUGGCUCCUUCAGUAGAGUUGACACGGGACGUGUCAGUUGACACAGGAGGCCAUGUCAUCCUACUGUAAAAUUUUUGCUUUUCCCUUGCUUGCCUGACAUGGGUCGUGUCAGGUGACACGAGCACCCGUGUCAGGGCCCUGUUUUUCCAAAUAAUUUCUUAUUUUUCGAUUGUUUUUGGUUAUUACCCUGUUCUCUGGUAUCCGACAAUCUUAUAUGAGUUUAACUCAACCUUUCUCUCCUGUACUAUGCGAUGUAACUGUGAACCUACGUAUAAACCUGUAAACACACCAAACAUGGAAAUAGUUAAAAUAAAACCGCGUGAGUUUCCUCCCACGAAGCGCUGCGUUUAACGUCGCAUGGCUCGACGGUCGUCUCCCUCAUCCGUGGAGACGAACACUAUCGAUCAGACCACUUUGUGACGGACCCGACCACCUGGAUUUCAACUUUCCUGGAAAAAGCUUUAAUCUGGAGUUGAACAAGAGCACCAACUGUCCCUCGACAAACUCUUUUCUCUAUAGCUUCUGAUCGUUCGAUUUCUUUGUCUUUUCUUUGUAUAGCUUGAUGUUCUCAUAUGCUUGAUUCCGAAACUCCUCUAACUCGUGGAGCUGAAGGAUUCGGGACUCACCUGCUUUAGCCAGAUCAUAAUUCAAGAAUUUGGAUGCCCAAAAUGCUUUGUGCUCCAACUCUAGUGGCAAGUGACAAGCUUUACCAUAAACCAACUGAUACGGAGACAUACCUAUGGGUGUUUUGAAAUCCGUUAUGUACGCCCAUAAUGCAUCUUCUAAUUUUAAUGCCCAAUCUCUCCUAGAUGCACAAACAGUCUUUUCCAAUAUUUGCUUUAUCUGCCUGUUGGACACUUCGACCUGGCCACUCGUUUGAGGGUGAUACGGAGUGGCGAUCUUGUGUUUAACAUUAUACUUCUUUAGCAGAUUCUCCAUCAGUUUGUUCAAAAAGUGAGUGCCUUCAUCGCUAGUAAGUGCUCUUGGCACCCCGAAUCUCGAAAAGAUAUUAUUCUUCAGAAAUGUCACCACCACUUUAGCGUCAUUGGUGGGCAAUGCCACAUCUUUCACCCACUUUGAUACAUAGUCAACUGCUACCAAGAUGUAAUUUUUCCCAUAGGAUGGUGGAAAUGGCCCCAUGAAGUCUAUUCCCCAGACAUCAAACAAUUAAACCUCAAGCAUACCAUUUUGUAGCAUUUGAUUUCUCUUAGAAAUAUUCCCCGUUCUUUGACAUCUGUCGUAUUCUUUGACGAUGUCCUGGGCAUCUUUGAACAAUGUGGGCCAAUAUAGACCUGAUUGAAGAACUUUGGUCGUUGUUCGGUCACCAGUGAAGUGUCAUCCAUAGUCUGAAUCAUGACAAGCUCUAAGUACAUCCCUUUGCUCCUCCUCCAAGACACAUCUUCUGACCAGCCCAUCCACUCCUCUUUUGUAUAGAAAUGGGUCAUCCCACAAGUAAAACCUACAAUCACGAACAAACUUUUUCUUUUUGUUAGAAUCCACUUGAGAAGUCUCGGCUUAGAGUCUUGCUUAGCAGACAGAUAUUUCAAAGCGGCAUGGUAUGUAUACAAUACAACCUUUGAUCCUAAAAAAUAUUGCCUGAACUUGUCAAAAGCGUAAACCACAGCCAACAACUCUUUUUCCGUGGUUGCAUAGUUCAUUUGUGCCGGAUUCAACACAUGACUAGCAUAGUAAAUGACAUGUAAUAACUUCUCUCUUCGUUGUCCUAAGACUGCCCCUACAGCAAUAUCACUAGCAUCACACAUGAUCUCAAAUGGAAGAGGCCAAUCGGAGGUAAUAACAGUGGAUGCUGAAAUCAGUUUGCUCUUCAAUGUCUCAAAGGCCAUGGUGCAUUCUUUGUUGAACAUAAACGCCUUAUCUUUAACCAAUAGAGUGGUCAGUGGUUUAGCAAUUUUUGAGAAAUCUCUUAUGAGCCUGCGGUAAAAACCUGUGUGUCCUAAGAAACUCCUAAUACCCUUCUCAUUCACCAGGGGUGGGAGUUUAGAGAUCACUUCCACUUUUGCUUGGUCAACUUCAAUUCCCUUGUGGGAAAUUUUGUGACCCAACACUAUCCCCUCAUGCACCACGAAGUGGCAUUUCUCCCAAUUCAGAAUUAAAUUUGUUUUCUGACACUUGUCUAAAACAUGAGAGAGAUUAGUUAAACAGUUAUCAAAUGAGGAUCCAAAGACCGAGAAGUCAUCCAUGAAAACUUCCAUAUGCUUUUCGAGCAUGUCAGCGAAAAUGGAAGUCAUGCAUCGUUGGAAGGUGGCUGGAGCAUUACACAACCCGAAUGGCAUUCUUCGGUAAGCAAAAACACCAUACGGGCAUAUGAAUGUUGUCUUUUCUUGGUCUUCCGGCGCUACAACAAUCUGAUUAUACCCGGAGUAUCCAUCUAGAAAACAGUAGUAAUCAUGCCCGGCUAACCUCUCAAACAUCUGGUCAAUAAAUGGCAAAGGGAAAUGGUCCUUCCUAGUUGUUGUGUUCAACCUUUUGUAGUCAAUGCAAACGCGCCAUCCGGUUAUUGUCCGCAUGGGAAUUAACUCAUUUUUUUUAUUCUUUAUUACGGUGGUCCCCCCUUUCUUAGGGACAACAUGCAUCGGGCUCACCCAUGGAUUGUCAUAAAUGGGAUAUAUAAGAUCUGCAUCCAACAAUUUCACCACUUCUUUCCGAACCACUUCCUUCAUUGCAGGAUUGAGUCUUCUCUGUGGUUGGACUACCGGCUUGUGGUCGUCUUCCAUGAGAAUUUUAUGCAUGCACACAGUAGGGCUAAUACCCUUCAAAUCUUCAAUUGCCCAUCCAAUAUCAUUUUUGUACUUUUUCAAGACUUGGAUGGGCUUUUCCUCUUGGAUAUUCUGAAGGCUUGAGUUUAUGAUAGCAGUACAUUUUCCUUCUGGUUCUAGAAAGACAUAUUUAAGAUUGCCAGGCAGUUGUUUCAACUAUGUUCCCUUCUUUGGUUCUUCAUUCUCCUCAUUAGGUUGAGGUAUGUGUAAAUCCUCCCACCGACGUGGUCGAGAUCCUUUCCAUGGGGGUUGUGCGUAUAAUAAGGCUAGCACUUCAGAUUCCCCAUUGUCCAUUUCUUUAUCCGAAUUGAAAAUGGACAAACUCAACACUCUUUCCAAAGGUGACUGAGGUAUAUUCAAAGGACUAUCAUAUGUCAUCACCUGAUCCAGAACCUCUAUAGUAUGACUGGUACAAAUAUCAUCCUUGUACCUAAUGGUGUUUCGAACAUCGAUUUUCAAUUCCUCAUCAUAAACCUUCAACGUCAUUGUUCCUUCUUCUAUGUUUAUCAAGCACCGUCCCGUUUCCAAAAAGGGUCUACCCAGAAUGAGAGGGAUCUCUUCAUCUUCCGGCAUUUCAAGAAUUACAAAAUCCAGUGGGAAAACAAACUUAUCAAUCUUCACCAGAACAUCUUCAACAAUGCCCUACGGUUUCUUGACCGAAUGAUCGGAGAAUUGGAGUGUCAUCCUUGUAUAUUGCAUAAUCCCUAUACCAAGCUUCUUGUAAAUGGAUAAUGACAUGAGGCUCACACUAGCUCCCAGAUCAAUAAGAGCUUUGUUGAACGAACUAUCUCCAAUAGUAUAUGGGUUGGUGACAGCUCCUCGAUCUUUCUUCUUUAUCGGAAUCUUUAUACCCUGCAAAAUAGCACUACAAGUUUCGGUUAGAAUAAUCGGAUUAGUGUAGGUGGUACGCCUCUUCGAAAUGAUAUCCUUCAUGAACUUGGCAUAAGUAGGCAUUUGUUCAAGUGCCUCCAACAAAGGAAUGUUAAUUUCCAGCUUCUUGAACAACUCUAAGAAUUUUUCAAAGUUUUUCUCAUGUUGUCCUUUUUUCUUGUUUCUAGUGGGGAAGGGAAGCUUAACAAUCGGCUUGGGCUUAAUGACUGUUUCUUUUACAACAGGUUUUGGUGCUAACACUUCUUCCCCUAACAACUUCAUUUUCUUUGAUCUCAAGGUCCACUUCGAUCAAUUGGCCUUCCUCUUCAUCCACUUCCUCGACAACUUCAUCAGAUUUACCACUCCGUGUUGUCACCGCGCUCACAUUAUUAUGCUCUCUAGGAUUUGUUACGGUUGCACUAGGUAGAGCACCUUGUGCUUGAGAACUCGAAGCUAGUUGCUGAGUGAUUUGACCCAUUUGGACUUCAAGAUUCUUUAUGGAUGUUGUGGUGUUUUUCUGAUUGUUUCGGGUUUCUUCCUGAUAUUGAACAUUAUGGGAUGCCAUUCUUUCAAUAGCAAUUGCCCAAUCAGCUUUCUUAGGGGCAUGUUACUAUUGUUAUUGUUGAUAUUGAGUUUGGUAUUAACCAUGUUGAGGAGCAAUUCCUUUUUGGUCUUUCCAUGAGAAGUUGGGAUGAUUCUUCCAACCCGGAUUGUACGUGUUGGAAUAAGGAUUAUUCUGCUUCAAAAAAUUGAUUUCCUCCACUUGUUGAGGAGUUGCAAAACAAUAAAUAGUUUGGUACGGACCACUACAAAUUUCACAGCAGACAGUAGGAACCGGUUGGAUCUGUGCCACCUGUUGGGUACCUAUAUCCAUCGCCUCCAGCCUCUUAUCAACUUCAACAACUAUAGUAUCUUCAAUACGAAUUUUAUUAGUUUCCAUCUUUAAAUCUAUAACCCAUUCUGGUUUUCUUUUACACCUAUCGUACAACUCCAUCUGCUCAUUAGCAGCAAUAGCUUCAAUGAUCUUCUUGAUACCGGUGCCUGUUGAAAAAUUUAUGGAACCACCGGCUGCAUUAUCUAUCAGCUGUUUGGUCUUUAUUUUAAGACCAUUCACAAACAUCUGCAUUUGUUCAGUUGGAUCCAUAUUAUGAGUUAGGCAAGCUACCAGGACUCUCUUGAAUCUCUUGUAGGCGUCUCCCAAAGUUUCCCCGUCCUUCUGCUUAAAAUUCAGAAUUUCAUACCUAUUUCGCAGAAAUACCAAUGCUGGAAAAUACUCAUUUAGGAAGGCUUUUUCCAUUUCUUCCCAAGACGUGAUGCUACUGGAAGGUAAAGACUAAAACCAUUCUUCAGCUUCUUCCGCUAAGGUAAACAAGAACAUUCUCAACUUCUUGGCUUCUUCAGUGUGACCAUCAAUUUUCAGAGUGUUGCUCAUGGUCAGAAACCUUUGCAAAUACUUGUUUGCAUCUUCGUUCACUUUUCCAGUAAAAUGCUUCCUUUCAAGCUGACUAAUGGUACUCGGGUGCAGCUGAAAUUAGCCAUAUUCAUUGGUUGGUUGACAAUAGUUAAUCUUUUGGUUUGUGCAUUUGCACCUUCGUGGUCUCCCAACAGUCUUUCUGGUGGCGGUGGAACAUCAGCCAUAGUUUCGAUCUCUCUAUCAGAACCUGAAUCUGAACUUGACUGGAUGGAAAGUUGUUCUUCGUCUGAUUCCAAUCUGGCUAAUCGAGCUUGUCUGAGUUUUUUCCGCAAGGUUCUCUCGAUUUCCGCGUCAAAAGGAAAAUCAGUUGAGGCCUUACCUCACAUACAAAUAUCAGACACAGAUCAGUUGAUAUAAUCGAAACAAAAUAUUCAAAACAACGGAAAAUAAAUUUUAGUUGAAGAGUAACAAAAUUUCAAUUGAGAUAAUUUUAAACUUAUAUUUGGCAAUCCCCGGCAACGGCGCCAAAAACUUGAUCGGGAAAAUAGCAAGUGUACUAUUUUUCCGAUGUAGUAAUAAGAGGGAUAUUUCCCAAAGAUCGAUCUCGAGGAUUGCGCAACAAUAUAUGAGUAAACAAUCACUCAAUUGAACAAAAGUAAUAGUUUAGGUUUUGUAAAAUUCACUGUAAGGAAAAAUAAAAUUAAUAAAUAUUUUCACAGAUUAUAAUGAUAUGCCAAGGAUGGUGUGUGAAAAUCUCCUGUAAUGACCCUUGAGUGUAUAUCUCCUUAAUAAUGAAAAUUGUUUCAAUUACCGGAUCUUAAGAUUGUUUUCCUCUAAGACCUCGGAGGAAAACAUUUGGUAUUCAAUCUAACCUCUAAGUCCUUAGGUGAUUAUGAUGAAACCAAGUCAUUUUCAUUUAACAAAAAUAAACCGGUAACCAUAGGGUAUCCCUAGUCCUAGGUGAUAUCUAUUAUGGUUUCACUGUAUUAAAACCUUAACAAUUGCAAUCCUACUAGUCGUUAACCAUACAUCAAUCUUAAUUUUUUUGAUAGAGAAAACAUUACGCAGAUUACACAGUGAAAUUGAUAACAAAUAACAUAUAUUAAGGAAAAUCUAACAUCAGAGUCAUUACAUGAUCAAUUCAGGGACACCCCCCUAGCAUUGGGGGGUUUAGCCUCUCAUAUUAUUCAAAUUAGAUACAAGAUAAAAUUGAGACAUUACAAAAAGAUCGGAAUUCCGUUGAUCUUCAAUCGCGUCCGCUCUUGAAGGAUCUUCGUUCUUCUUCGCUUUCCACUACUUCAAUCUUGAUCGUCUCUAAUUUUUUAUCGUGUAAAAACUCCCUCUUUUCAUAUUCAAAUCCCCUGUAAAUAGUUCUUGAUGACAAUUUUUAUCUAGCAAAAGUCCAAAAUACCCUCCGGGAUAAGCCGUGCCAAAAAUAACACAAAAUUGGAAAAUCAAGUGUCCAAGCCAACACUGGCCGUGUCAGGCAACACGAUAGGCCAUGUUGGGCUUCUGGUGCAAACAGGCUUGACACGCCCCUUUAGGGAGGCUGACACAGGCCGUGUCAGCUGACACGGGCACCCGUGUCAGCUCCCUGUUUUUCCUUUUCCAAGUGUCUGAAGGAGAAUAGCCAUCCAAGGCGCAGCGGAAUUUAAAAAAUUCUCCAUUUAGUGAUCCUUACGAAUGGGCAUGAUCAGUGAUAGAAUCGUUACCUCUUGUGGCAAUUCAAACCUUUGGUGCAGAUCUCUGAUAAUGAAAAAAUUCUCCAUUUAGUGAUCCUUACGAAUGGGCAUGAUCAGUGAUAGAAUCGUUACCUCUUGUGGCAAUUCAAACCUUUGGUGCAGAUCUCUGAUAAUGAUCAAAACCUUUGAUACAGAUCCACGGAGUGAUCACGAACGUUGAACGAUGACAACGUCUCUACUCAGUCCACACGAACGGAUUCCCUCAAUCUCAGUGCUAGCUGGUACGAAUGAAGGCUUUGAGUGAGAGAGAGAAACGAAAUUCCAACUCUUCACUUGAGUUGAAUCUCUGUGGAGUCACAAUGCUUCUACCCAAGGGGUUCUAUUUAUAGAACCACUUGUGUGGGCUUCAAGCUAAAAAGCCCAACUAAGUGUAUUUUGGCCCAUAUCUCAUAGUAUGCCAAAAUCACUUAAGUAUUUGGUACCUUACCAUAUUUCAUCUCCCACUUAAGUGCACCGUACCUUACGGUGUUCAUUAGUUACUCUACUUCUCAUCAAUCCGUCCUUUGUGUGUGACCCUGUAGGUUUUCGCGACGUUGGCAAUUAUAUUAAAUCACGCAUUUAACAUAAUAAACAGUGAGCGGUAUCUAGCAACACAUCACUGCUGACCCAAGUCACGAAAAAUGUCAUGUGAUCUGACAAAACCUCCUGUGAAAUAAUUAUGUGUAUAAUUACUCCUUUGCCCUAUGUCUAUAUUGAACACAAGGUAUAGACCGUGUCAGCCUUGUCCAGUUCAAUAUUGGCCCAUAGACAUUUAUCCCUGUUACGCAGGAUGGGCAAAUUCCAUCUGGACACUCAUGUUCCUCAGCAUGCUUUGUGGAGUACCCACAACUGUCUUUAUGGUUAUCCAGUUACAGACAAGUUGGAUCAGCAAUAAAGCACUCGACUCUACAUCUAGGAUCCAUAGUGGUUUCAGGUCGAAGAGUGGUAUACACUAUUACACCAUGAGAAUAACUUAUGACACUUUGCAUAACUUUCUAUAUAUAGUAUUCUCAUAGCGGUGCAAUCCGGUAUACAAUAUACUCCUAAUAUUCAUACCUAUGUUUAAGACUUGAUAACUCUUAUCCAGUAUCCAUGAGAUGUGAUUCAUCAGUCUACAAACAUAAUGUCUUAAUGCUUUAAUGUUAUCCCACUUCACACUUAAGCUCGACUACGGAUACUUUAAGAAUGUGUCCUUAUGUUUAAUGGUUCUCAUGAUUAAGUCACACUUAUAUACAUUAAAUGGACUAUCUAUUCCAGGGACUUUUUUAAUCAACCAUAUAAAGAAAAAGCCUUUUUAUUAAUUAAUAAAUAAUUCGAUACAAGUACCAAAGUAUUGCCUCUAGGGCUUACACCAACAACUCCCACUAGCACUAGAGCCAAUCAGGCAUAAUCCUAAUGCCCAUUGAUCUAGUAUGGCCAUCAUGCUUCUGCUGCGCAAGAGGCUUUGUUAGUGGGUCAAGCAAUAUUGUCAAGUGUGGUACUCUACAUAUUUUUCACAUCUCCUCUAUCUAUUAUCUCUCGAAUGAGGUGAUAACGCCUGAGUAUGUGUUUGGAUCGUUGGUGAGAUCUAGGCUCCUUAGCUUGUGCGAUAGCACCAUUGUUAUCACAAUAGAUACCAAUGGGAUCCACAAUGCUAGGGACUAUGCCAAGUUCACUAAUGAACUUUUGAUCCAAACAGCUUCCUUUGCUGCACUUGAGGCAGCAAUAUACUCGGCCUCGGUUGUAGAAUCAGCAACUAUAUCUUGCUUUGAACUUUUCAAGCUCACAGCGCCACCAUUUAAGCAAAACACAUAACCAUUGGAAUCAUCCAUAUUAAAGCGUCUCAGCACUUUGUCUAUGUACUCUGACUUAGGCCAAGCAAUUUUGUGAUCUAUCUCUAUAGAUUCUGAUUCCUAAUAUAUAGGUUGCUUCACCUAGGUCCUUCAUAGAAAAGCAUUUCCCCAUGGUUCUGAAAUGAACAACGUCCCAUCCCUAUAACAAAGGUUACUGUAAUAUGUCAUCUACAUAUAAUACCAGGAACACGAUCAUGCUCCCACUAACCUUCUUGUAGACACAAGGCUCAUCUUCGUUUUUUAUGAAUCCAUGAGUAAUACAUCACUCUGAUCGGAUAUCCAUAUAUCUCAGGUAGGUGACGUAUCCUGCCUGACCUACGCUGGUCUUGUUCUACUUGAGCAGGUUGCUCUUACACAACUAUUUGUGUUUCCUGCUCUAAUUCCUCCAUAGGUGUAUCAAUGCUUUUUGAUUCUUGAAUUUCUUCAAGCUCUACUUUCCUCCCACUGAUUCCUUUGGAAUUAAAAUCCUUUUCUAGGAAAACUCCAGUUCGAGCGACAAACAUUUUGCCCUCUGAAGGAUUGUAGAAGUAAUACCCUCUUGUUUCUUUAGGAUCCCACAAAUAAGCAUUUGUCAGAUUUGGGCUCAAGCUUAGUUGAAAUUUGUCGUUUCACAUAAACUUCG